GCCGUAUGUCAGAUACAAUAUUAAUUUAGCCUACGUACUCUAACAUUAUAAAAUAAGAGACAGAUAGGAUAUUUUCUCUAAAAAGGACAUAGUUAAAAUGCUUGAAAAUGACAACUAGUCAAAUAUGGGCAUAACUUUUCCAUGAUAAAGAGAUAACUUAUUGUCCAGACAUUAGUGUAUAUUUUACUUCUAAGAACAUAGUGACGGAAAUACCUUAUCUUCCCCCUCAUGCUCUGACAAUAAGUUUCAUAUUCUGUUACCAUUGAGUCGAUUCCAACUCAUAGUGACCCUGUAGGACAGAACGGAAGUGUCCCAUAGGGUUUCCAAGGAGAGGCUGGUGGAUUCGAACUGCCAACCUUUUGGUUAGCAGCCGAGCUCUUAAACACUGAGCCACCAGGGCUCCCUCCAAGAGAGCACUAAUAAAUGAAACAUCCAGUUUCUUCCACAGGCACUGCCAGUACCACCUGGCAACACUCACCACUUCCCAGGGGCUCUGACUGGCUCGGUUUGCAGGAGCCCAUGGCAGUCCCCACCAUGUUCGGUGGUUAUCUAACAGCUUUGAAACGUCACUCUUCGCGCAGCCCAUUUUAAUUUUUCCAGGAUCCUUUGGAAGGCCCUGCCCUCCAUUUUGAAAACAAAAAUAAAGAAAACCUGAUCUAUGAAGGGGAUAGUUAAGAAAGCCAUGGCAUUUGUGGAGAUGUGAGAACUUCUGGUUUAAAUUUCAUUAGACUCACUUAUGUUGACUCUCAGGUAGCUCGCUAAUGACUUGUAAUUCUGUUGGGUACUUUAGGAAGCAGAGGGAAAUGGCAGACAUUACAAAAUGCACAUUUAAAGCCAAAGCUACAGUAGUGGUGGUUAGCUCAAUAGGAUACAAAACCUUAGUCAAGCUACUGACUGGAAGUUUGAGAGCAACUUUGACAAGACAAGGCAAAUGGAUUGCACUCCAGUGAGAACUAGUUUAACACUUGAACUCAGAAAAUUUCCCAUUUCCCCCUUGUUGAGUCCUACGAAUAGAGAAGAGGGUAAGAAAGAGAAGCGAUUCAGAAGGAGGGUUUGGAGUGUAAACUGAAGAUUUCCACAGACAUGAUUUUUUUUUUUUUUAUGACAUUUUUAUGGCCACUUUUAAGCUAUUGCUUUCAGUUUACUUCCAGGCAGUCACUGAAGUAGCUCAGAAAGAAAUCUUUGAUAUGUCAGAUCAACCAAAAGUUUUAAAAUGUCCUUUUGUGUCUCCAUUUAUAAUGCAAAUAGUAAGUUGGCAUUUUGGGUUCACUCAGCCAUCUUCUCUGAAGUGGGUUAACAUACACAGAGUGGGGAAGUGAAGGGAGUCCCACAAGAGAGCACAUCUUUGAUAGUUCAACAAUAAUAAUAAAAAAACUUGUUUAGGUCUUUUCUAAAUACCUUUCACCUCCUAAGAAUAUAAAAAAUGGGAGGAAAGAGAUCUAAAAAGAAUAAAUUGUGGUUGCCCUCUAUGUUAGCUGAAUGACUAAAGAUGUUGUUCUAUAAAUUACCCACUACUUAAAUAUUCCUUAAAUCCAGCCUUUACGAGCUCAUAAAAAAUGACUUUGCUUAUGUGCCUAGGAAAGCCAGUAUCUUUAUAUGCUGUCAGGACCGAAUCUAACAUACUGUUUCAAUAUACAUUUGAAAACCAGCUGAUAUUUUGUUAUAUAAUGCGCGCAGGGCAAUCACCUUAAACCCACGUUUACAUUUUAUUUUUAUCAUAUAUAAACAUACCCUAGCUGAAACAGUUUUAAAAAGUGGUAACCUGUAUUUGAGAAUGAUAGGAAGAGACUGAAUCCUGGUUGAGUUAGCAUUGCCACUGCAGUGUUUUAUUCAUGAGAAUCUCCAACUCUUUUUCAGAUAUACUAAGAAAGCCAGAAUUAAUUAAUGUCAUGAGCAUAAAUGAGGGCUGGCAAUGAUCAUACAGUUUCAUGCUAGGAGGAGGGAAGGCCGAGACCUCUACACACUGCAUAAACCCCAUAUACCACUUUCUCUUUUGAGAGCCUGUAUAAAGUCUCCCAUCCAUUUUGCAGCUUCAGAAUUUCUUCUAGGCAACUGAAGUCAAAUUACCUUUUUUUGACAAAUGCUUUUCCCAAAUGGAAGCAAGACCCAUAGUGUUUCAGGAAGCUUCAGGUGAAGUGUUAGUAAUAACCAUUGCAUAAACAGAUAUUUUACCAUCUUCUGUUUCAUGAUUGAGCUUUGCAAGUGUAAACAAUUUAUAAGGAAAAAAGUGGACCAUGACAGAUUUGAGAAGCAGAAGGGAAAAUCAAAAGUGUGCUUUGUCAGGAGAGGUAGUCAGGACAAACCUAUGAUUUUAAACUAUUUAGAUAUAGUCCCGUCUUUGAAGUCCCUCUUUUCUCAAAUUUAAUGUCUCUCCUCUCCUCCCUUCUUCUCCUGCCUCCUCCCCUCCCCUCCCCUCCCCCCCCUCCCCUUUUCAUCUCCUUCCACCUCUUUUCUCGCCCUCUCUUUCUCCUUCCUUCUCCCCUCCCCUCCCUCCUGUUUCCUCUUUGCUCUUGGGCACUGGUUUGGAUUAUUUUUGCUUUAGUGUCUCUCAGGCACUUGAGUUCUCAGCUCCUUCAUGUUCUCCCCCUCCUCUUCCCCUUCCUCUCCCUUCACUUCCCUGUACCCCACCUCCCACUUGAGCUUGUCGGGAAGCCACUGUACCCUGGGUGCCCUCUUGCCUCAGCCUUGUUUAAACAAAAACAAAACUGUUGCUAUGAAGCCUCCCAACUCAUGGCGAUCCUCUGUGUCAAAGUAGAUUUGUGCUCCACAGGGUUUUCAGUGGCUAAUUUUUCAGAAGUAGACCACCAGGCUUUUCUUCCCAGGUGCCUACAGGUAGACUCAAACCUCCAUCCUUUUGGUCAACAGCUGAGUGCAUUAACCGUUUGCACCACUGAGGGACUCCUCGGUCUUAUUUGUUCCUGUCGUUAGGUGUUGUCAGUCACGUGGAUUCUGACUCAUAGUGCCACCAUGUGACAGUGGAACUACUCAAUAGGGUUUUCUAGGAUGUAAUCUUUAUGGGAGCAGAUUGCAAAGUCUUUCUCCUGUGGAGCAACUAGGUGGAUUCGAACAGCCAACCUUUUGGUUAGCAACAGAGAGCUUAACCGGUGCACCACUCAGGGAAUCCUCAGUCUGGUUUAAGCCGUUGCCGUUGAGUUGAUGCCAACUGAGAGCAACUCUAUAGGACAGAGUAGAACUGCCCCCUAGAGUUCCCAAGGACCAUCAGGGGAUUCGAACUGCCGGCCUUUUGGUUAGCAGCCGUAGUUCUUAACCACUAUGCCACCAGGGAUUCCCAGCCUUGUUUAGGCACCUCAUAUAUAUAUAAUUUCAUGGUUAUAUUUAGUAAAAAAUAGACCUCUUUUCUUUUGUUGUCUCACUUGAAUUAAGUUUUACAGUUCUGACUGGAAACAAAUCUUUAUUUUUCCAUAUUGCAACUCUUUGUGCUCUUUCAUUUAAGACAGCUGCUUUAAUAGUGAUCAAAUGCUGAAAUGCUUCAGCAUAUUAAAACCUACUUGGAAAAAUGAUGAUAAAAUAGCAUAAAUAAGCAGGAAAUAUAUACUCUGUAGUGGAUGGUAAGAUGUCAUCUCACGUACUUUGGAUGUUAUUGGGGGGACCAGUCCCUGAAGAAGGACGUCAUGCUUGGUAAAACAGAGGGUCAGGGAAAAAGAGGAAGACCUUCAAUGAGAUGGAUUGACACAGUGGCUGCAACAGUGGGAUCAAACAUAACAACGAUUGUGAGGAUGGUGCAGGCCUAGGCAGUGUUUCAUUCUGUUGUACACAGAGUUGCUAUCAGUGGGAACCGACUCGACAACACCCAACAACAAGGAGAUCUAUUGGUAUCCUGCCUAGAUCCUCUCAGUGGCUGCUGCAUGCCUCUCCUAGCUGCUUUGAGUGUGGCUGGUAAGCUCACAGCUGCCUCUUUUUCUGGAGAAUUGCCCCCUAGCAAACACUGAAUGGGGAGGGGGUGGUUUAAAACAGGCUAACUAGCCCCUUUGCCUCAAGGUGGACCUAAAGCUGUGGUGUGAUUUGUGCUCUAGAGCUUCCUUGCGGGAUCUACUAAUGUAUUCUCUAGCUAAGCCUACAUUCUUGCCUAGCUUCCCCGCUUCCCUUCCUCCCCUUCUCCUGAGAACACUCUCUCAAUAAAUCACUUGAACAAGAAUUCCUACCUCAGGCUCUGUCUCUAGGAUGCCUCUCCUAGGACAUACAUGCUAAAAAAAAACAAAACGAAGAAAACUCAGAAUUUUUUGGCUAGAUCUUCAAUAUAUAUGAAAUGACCAGUGUUAAGAUGGUCAUUGAUAGAAUAAAACAUUGUUGUCAGGGACCGUUGAGUUGGUUUUGACUCAAAGCAACCCUAUGUACAACAGAAGGGAACAGCACCAGGUCUUGUGCCAUCCUCACAAUAGUUGCUAUGUUUGAGCACAUUGUUGGAGCCACUAUGUCAAUCCAUCUUGUUGAGGGUCUUCCUUUUUUUCGCUGACCUUCUGCUUUACCACCAUGAUGUUCUUCUCAGGGACUGGGUGCCUUCUGACAAAAUGUCCAAAGUACAUAAGAUGAAGUCUCACCACACUAGCUUUCAAGGAGCACUCUGACUAUACUUCCUCCAAGACAGAUUUGUUUGUUUUUCUAGCAGUCCAUGGUAUAUUAAAUAUUCUUUGCCAACACCAUAAUUCAAAGGCAUCAAUUCAUCAUCCAGCUUUUCCAAGCAUGGUGACUGAAAAUACUGUGGCUUGAAUCAGGGGCACCUUAGUCUCCAAGUUGACAUCUUUGCUUUUUAACACUUUGAAGAGGUCUUUUGCAGCAGAUUUGCCCAAUGCAAGGCAUCAUUUGAUUUAUUGACUGCUGCUUCCACUUGUGGAUUCAAGUAAAAUAAAAUCCUUGACAACUUCAAUCUUUUCUCCAUUUAUCCUAAUGUUGUUUAUUGGUCAAAUUGUGAGAACUUUUGCUUUCUUUAUGCUGAGGUGUAAUCCAUACCAAAGGCCGUUGUCUUUGACCUUCAUCAGUAAGUGCUUUUAAGUCCUCUUUGGUUUCAUCAAGCAAGGUUGUAUCAUCUGCAUAUCGCAGGUUGUUAGUAAGUCUUCCUCCAAACCUGAUGCCCCACUCUUCUUUAUAUAGUCCAGUUUCUAGGAUUAUUUGCUCAACAUACAUAUUGAAUAAGUAUGGUGAAAGGAUACAACCUUGACACACACCUUUCCUGACUUUAAACCAUGCAGUAUCCUCUUGUUCUGUUUGAACAACUUCCUCCUGGUCUAUGUACAGUUAAAGCACAAUUAAAUGUUCUGGAAUUCUCAUUCUUUGCAAUGGUAUCCAUAAUUUGUUAUGAUCUACACAGUUGAAUGCCUUUGCAUAGUCAAUAAAACAUAGGUAAACAUCUUUCUGGUAUUCUCUAGUUUCAGACAAGAUCCUUCUGACAUCAGCAAUGAUAUCCUUCAUUCUGUGUCCUCUUCUGAAUCUGCCUUAAAUUUCUGGCAGUUUCCUAUUGAUGUACUGCUGCAACCAUUUUGAAUAAAACAUUAGAUUCAGCAAAACAGCAUGAAAACUGCAGAUAUUUCCAGUUGUGCAAAACUUAAGUAUACAGAUUUUAUCCUUUGUCUCACCCAAAGAGGAAAUAUUUUGUAAGGAGUUGCAAAUAUUUAAGAUGUUAUUAGCCUGGGGAAAUCCCACGAAUGAGAUAGCAACAGUCCCUUAAGUACUCAUGUUAUGACUAGAUUUAUAGUUUCCAAAAUUCUUUCACUUACCAGACCUCAAGUAAAUCUCAUGCCAUCAUAACAGGAAGGGAUAAUUAGUUUCAUUUUCCACAUGUGAAGAAAUUAUCUCUGAGGUUAAAUGACUUGGCCACUAUCUCACAGUUAGUAAGUACCAUAGCUGGUAUUUAAACCCAGGUGUCUGUGUAGAAUAUGAGGUAAGAGUUCUUAAUUAAUCUAAUCAUGUUCUUAUGUUUUCACAGGUUCAGUCUUCAUAAGCUGCUGUUGAAUCUAUAAAAACCCAGUGCUGUCAAGUCGAUUCCGACUCAUAGCUACCCUAUAGGACAGAGUAGAAUUGCCCCAGAGAGUUUCCAAGGAGCACCUUGAAUCUAUAGGGCUACCUUAAUGAAGUAUCUACUGGCUUAGAGUUAAUCUUAGGCAAAGUGGCCAGUUGUAUGUUAAAUCCAUGUAUUACUUAGCCAUUGCUGUAUAACAAUUUACCCUAAAAUUUAGCAGCUUAAAAUAAAAAGCGUUCAUUAUCUAACAGCUUCUGUGUGUCAGGAAUCCUGGGGUGGCUCAGCUGGGUGUCUUCAUCUUAACAUUUCCACAAAUUCAUAAUCAAGAUAUUGGUCAGGAUUUUGGUCUCACCUAAAGGCUCAGUUAAGGGAAGAUCCCCUUCCAAGCUCACUCAGAUAUUUGUUUGCAGGAUUCCGAUCCUUGGGAGCUACUGGAGUGAGGGUCUAAUUUCCUCACUAGCUGUUGGCUGGAGGCAUUGUUCAGUUCCCUGUUACUGGUCCUUUCCAUACGGCAGCUCACAAUAUGGCAGCUGGUGGUCUUCAGAUUGAGCAAGUGAGAGAAAGCAAUAGAAGGCAAGCAAGAAGGAGGACAGAGUUUUUUUGUAACUGAAUCUUGGAAGUGACAUAUCAUCAUUUUUUCUGUAUUCUACUGAUUAGAAUUGAGUCACUAGGUCCAGCCCUCAUUCAAUGGAAGGGGAUUACACAAGGAUGUGAAUACCAGGAGGCAGAGAUUAUUGGGAAUCAUUUUCAGAGCUGCCUACUGGAACACGUCACUUGGCUUCCUUGUCUACUAGGCCCCCACAACUUAGCCCAACCCCUAUUCUCUCUAUAUGGAAGCACUGGAUUAUUUCCAAUACACUAAUUUCAUGGGUUUAGGCACUUGCUCUUCCUCCCUCCUACUCUUCAAUUUCUCUUCCCCUUUUACUCUUUCUUUCUUGCUUCCUCUGUCCUUUUGCUUCUGAUUCUACUCACUUCUCUUUCAGACUCUUUGUUUUCUCUCUCCUCCCUUUGUGUGCUUUCACUCUCACCUUCCUUUCUGAAUCCAAAUCUUCUAUUUCUCUUCCUGUUAAUGUUGCCCUUAAUGUUUCUCAAUGUGUUCACAGGGACUAUGGACAGCCAGUAAUUUUGGAUGCUAACUUUUAAGUUUCUAAUAAAGCAAUUUAAUUCACCUUUUUGAUCUAUUCUUUCCACUAUGGUCCUCUGGGAAGAUGACACCAUGAUGAAGUGAGUUAAAGUCCUUUUUACAGAACACUGAAAAUUCCAUUUUACAGGGUAGGGGAGAAUUUUUUUUUUUUUCCUACUUCUCAAUGCCUAAUGUCCGUUCUGAAUUAUAUCUAGCUUAUAGUCUUAUGUGUUUUAUGAUAAGUUCUUUAAAAGGUAAGAUGAUGAGGGUAAUGAGGCAGGCCUAAGUAUACCAUUAUAUCACUUAUCUAAAAUUACUUGUUUAGUCCUUGAUGGCAGGGACAGCAAACUUUAUCUCUAUUUCCAGUACCUACCACAGUUUGAAUCAGUAAACUGGUGCAAUACUAUUGCAGAACUAUAGUAGAUUGAAUAGUUUGGCUAUUUUAGCCACUAAAAAUAUGGUGGAAAAAUAGUUUUCUCAAAUCUUAUGUGAAAUUCAGGAAAAAUGUUAACGAAAAUGAUAUGACUGUUUCUACUUUUCAGCAACAGAAGAUGGUCUUAAAAAAGGAGACUAUUUGAUCCGGCUGAGAGCAUACUCACAAGUGAAAUAAUGUACAGUAUAAAAAAAAAAAAAAUUUUUUUUUUUUUUUUUUUUUUUAUGUAGUCUAUUUUGGUCCAUGAUAACUGCCAGCCAUACCAUGGCCUGUUUUGUGAAAUUAGGCAAAGAUUCUUGGGGGCAAAUAAGUGAUUAGAAUAUGUUCAAUUCAGUGAUAUAUAUGUUCAGUCUAUUAGCACAUGCCAACCAAUUUUAUUGCAUGACCUACUGGCUAGUAAACGUCAAAAGAAGUCAAAUCGUUUGGAGAUCAGUUGUUUAGUAAGUUAGAAUGAAUGAAGUCUUUAAUGAGUGCGGGCAUCAAAUUCUGUCCUAGUUUGUUGCUUGUCAUGCCCUAGUCUCCAUCUGGGAUGCCCCAGGCACUCUUUUUGAGGACACUUGACCUACCAGUCAUAUUUCAGAAACUACUGAUUUGGUGCUCUGUGAUUGAGUUUAGAUUUGGAGGAGUCCGGCUGCUGGAUUACAUACAGACUAAUGACCCAUCAGAUGCUAAAGGCAAAAGCUUAAAGUGCACUAGUGAAUUAAGCCACAACAUUGUCGGAAAGAAAGAAUUUAUUAUGUCAUUAAAAUUGAUUCAAUAAGUUUUGCUUCUUUAGAUGCAUGGCGCUGAGGGAAACGUAAGAAAUUAAUUUUAAGCAAGUGUGGACCUGCUUUCUCAGGAUAGUCAAGCAAAAUUAAGAGGAAGAAUAUUGCACUGGAAUCAAAAGGAAGCUGUUAAAAAGGAAUGAUCUACUGUGAAAACUGGGCAUGGCUGCUUAGCCAGGCAUGUCCUUCUAAGUUCAGAGACUAUUUGCUUCAGGUAGUAAACACAGAGGAAAGCCCGGCUUGCCUAAGUUGAUGAUACCCUGGGUAAAGUUCUCAGGGACUUUGGGUAAAAUCUCACAGGCUCACUGGUACAAGGAUGUCAGCAAUAAUCAUGGCUGAUGCUUAGCGUUUCACGUGGAAACUUAGGGUGGGCAUAAAAUGAAAACCCAACUGGAGGUUUUCGGCUUCAAAUCCAGGAGUUAUUAUAAUGAUAUGAAGAAAAUACUCUUAAUUUAUAGAUGACUAUAAAACAUAAAAAUGUAAAACAUGUGGUGUUUAAUCUUCCUACAUAUGUUUUAUAGCAACAGAUAAAAUGUUGAUAAAUAGCAACUUAAAGAUAACAGAGGAAACUGCAGAGUGUUUGUCCCUUUUGUCAGUUAUCAAUCACAAUAAUCUGACAAUCCUCUCUGGUGUUUUAAAGUGUUACAGAGGUAAAUGGUUAAAAAAGAAAAAAAUUACACUCAUUGUAUCUGAAAAGCCAGUUCUAACAAUGGAGAGGUUUUACUAUUCAUAUUCCAGGUAAUAAAAUAUAUUUCCUAUUAGUGAUUGUAUGUAGUGAUAUAGAAGAAAGAGUUCAAAUCCUCAAAUAACGGAUUCUGAUCUUUGUUUUAACUGAGCAAAUUUCAUAGCAGGUGGCUUUUGUCAAAUAAAGGGAAAACCCUGUGAGGUAGCUCUGUGUCCAAGGGACUGAGCAUUGUAAUUUCAUUAGAAUUCUUUGCUAUCACAAUAUUCCAAGCUUAAGAUGGACAUAGAAAUAAAAACCAAUGGAUACUUUUGUUUUUCUUUUUUCAUUCAAUCAUUUCUAAAGGUUUUUUUUUUUUUUUUUUAAAGUAGGGUUUUCAGGACAACUAGAUUUGGAAUUUUUUUUCCUUCUUUCUUCUCUCUGUCUUUCCCUUUAUCCUUCCCUCCCUCCUCAACUUUCCUCUCUCUCUCCCUUUCCUUCUUUCUUAAGCCAGAGUCACAAAGUUCAUUUUGAUUUCAUUAUUGAAAUUAUUUUAAUCUUGGACCAGUACCAGGAAUAACAGACAAGAAAUCUUCCCUCCCAGUUAUUCAAUAUACUUAGUAAUGCAAGGACUAUAUAUAUUUAAAUCAGCUUUUCCUUACAGUGUUCCUAAAUUUCAAGGUAAGGCACACCUUGGGAGGAAAGGAAAGCUGAGAUGGAAAUUCAUUUGGGCUUUGUGGCACCUGCAGUUUUCCCACCAGGGCCCCACACCUCAGUUCCAGGAUGAGCAUCUGGGCUGAUUCAGCUGCCAAUUGCCUCUUUACCAAGAAUGGAAGCUUAUAAAGACAGGAGUGUCACAGACAAAGGUUACCGUGGCUGACCACAGAGAUUUCCAAAAGAACCCUUGUUCACUUACCAGUGGAGUAUCAGAAAGGAAACCAGUUUCCACUCCUAAAUGUAGUUUUAAACACCUCCUAUGUAUCAAAAGAAGCUAAAUUUUGAACCGUGCUUAUAAAACCGUGGUCUUUAUACCUGCCUGAUGAGCUUAUUGUGAGGAUUAAGUCAGUAAAUGUAUAUAUGCUCUUUGGUCAAGAGCUUGGCUACUAACCAAAAGGUCAGCAGUUUGAAUCCAUCAGCUGCUUCUUGGAAACCCUGUGGGACAGUUUUACUUUGUCCUAUAGGGUCACUAUGAGUUGGAAUUGACUCUAUGGCAAUGGUUUUUUUUUUUUUUGGUUUGGUCCUUAAGUCAUCUUUUAUUCAUAGUCUGGAGGUCAUUGAGAGAGGAGCAGCACGAGAUUAUUUUAUGUGCAUUUGUUAUUCAUUUUCUUGUUCUACAAAGUAAGCUGCCCUGACAUCUGAAGGAUUAUAUGAUGUGGCAUGGGAAAAACUGGAAAGUGUCUUCUCUAAUGUCUAGCCUGGACCUCCGUCUGCAGUCUGCAAAAGAAUCAAGAUGGAGGCAUACCCCAGCUCUCCAGAUGAUUCCCAUUAUCCUUUGGGACUUAUUAGGGAAUUUGGGAGAAAUGACUACUCUGGAAGAGUAAAAAUUUUUUUGUAAAUUCAAAAAACAUUUCUGUUUUUGAUAAAAAGAGUUUUCAUGAUGAAGCUUGCCAAGUAGCUUGGAAAAGCCUUCUUCAGUGUUUCACUGCAGUAAAGGUUAUUUAGAGAGCCCCAAGUAUUCUUCCUGGUCAGCAACAGGCGGUUGAGGGAAAGUCAAUUACACUAUGACUCAUUCUGUUCAUGGUUUAACCUCCUGACCUGUGCUGCCUGUUCUGGGAUUUCAGGUAAGUGGUUGGGAAAGUUAUGUGCGAGCCUUUUCUCUCUCUCCAGAAUUUUUAUCCUCUUUUCUUUCUCUGUGUUACACGUGUACCUAGAUAUCAAUAGGGUCUUAUCAUUCUGAUUUUUAGUAUCUUUCCUUGUAGUGUAUUUUCUCUCUCACUGGUUUUUCUUUAAUUUCAGCCCAAUUGUUAUUGGUUGCUAAUUUAGGGCCAAUGUAACUUAGAAAAACAAACCAAUUAAAAUUUAUGAAACAACAAUAUUUAUUAGUCUGAUCCUGAGUCUCCAAUGAUCAAUAAAUACAAAGAAAAUCCAGUUAGGAAUAAAGCUUUGGGAUGAUCACCUUCUAGAAAAAGAGAAACUAACAUUGCAAAGACAAAGAGAAAAAAACCAUCAAUUCUACUAUCUCAUUACCUAAGUGUUGUAUUUUUUAAAUUUACUUAAAAUAUAUUCUUUGCCCAGGCUGUCAUUCCAGUUAACUCCUUCAAGUUUAAACUACCACUGUAGAGAUACAGAUUUUUCUCUUCCUUGUGUAUUUCAUGCUAUGGUAAUAGCUCACCUAGCCAGGGAUAUGGAUCAAAUAUCCAUGAAUCCAAAAGCAGCUACAAUGUAUGUAUGUCAGUAUCUCAUGUAUGUAAUAAACUCAUGUACCUCCUUCAUUGACAGGAAACACAAACUGUCACUCAUUACUAGUUGACUUUUCAGACUCUGGUAUCUGGUUCCUUGACUAGCUUUAUAUUAGAAGCAACAAGUUGGAAGGGACUAAAGAUUGCUCUAAGAGUAGCAUGACAGCUUAUGAAAAGGGAGAUGAUUAAAAAACAAAACUACAAAAUUGGACACAAAAAUAGAAAAAGAAAUUGUAAUCUGAACUACUGGCUCUUGUGGCAAACAUCUCUCUAUAUGGCAGAGCUGUAUUACAACGUACUUCAGUCAUAAAUGGACAUUAUGAUAGCCUAGAGUAAUCAAGUUCCUGGGUGGUACAAAUAGUUAAUGUACUUGGCUACUAACCAAAAUGUUGGAGAUUCAAGUUCACACAGAGGUGCCUCAGAACAAAGGCCUGGUGAUCUACUUCUGAAAAAUCAGCCAUUGAAGACCCUACGGAACACAGCUCUACUCUGUCACACAUGGGGUGGCCAUAGAUUGGAGUCGCUUCGAUGGCAACAGAAAAAAAAAAAAAAGUGAUCAAGAAAGGCCGAACUUGUCUUUGGCUUACUCUGACUUAGAAGACCAGAAAAUUUAUGAUAUAAUUUAAAAACGUUUCCAUAAAAAUUAUUUUUAAAAUUUUGGUAAAGUGGUUUCAUUUCCCUUAGAACUGUACUUUUUCCUUGAUUAUGCUAGAUAAGUUGAGCAUUAAUGUGAUUCUAACUGGAUUGAAUUGAAAUUGAUUUUUUAUAUAAAGAAGAGAAUGGAUUCUGAGUAAGAAACAGGGGACUGGAAGUUUGAGUUCCAAGGAAGUUUUGUUUUUAAUUUAGAUCCAAACUUCGUGUUGAAAAGGAGCUCUUAUUCUUGCCCUGGAAAAGGGAAUAAGAUGGAAGUAGGGAGGGAUUCUGACUAAAAGUUAGUGUUUACAGGCUCUGAGUGUCUGCAAAACUGACAGGGCUGGUGGGUUAAUAUUUAUCCUGCACCUUGAUACCUUCAGAUGAAAAGUACUACACAAAUAUCAAGCGCUCUAAACUCUGUGGAAUUUUCAAUCUUUUCAAUUUGCUAACAACAAACUACUCAGUGGCUUGCUGGGGAAGGUUGCUCCCUUUGUAGUAUUACAACGGUAUUGGUUUUAUAUGCUGGUGACUGAAAUCACUAGUAAAAGCACAGCUCUUAGCUGUAUUCUUUCCCAGGCUGUUUCAGAAUUUUAAGAUUGCCAUUGACAUAGGCUAUUUUUUUGGCCUAAAAUAUUUUGGUAGAAACUUUAGGUCUAGAUAACCAGAGCGAAAAAGAUAUUUGUAGCCACGUCUGUUGAAUUUUUGUUGUAGAGUAUACACCACCUGGUGAUGGCUGCGUAAGACUCAAGGUCUUACCUUAACAUUGAUAUUGACCCUAGUGGCUGCUGCCUUUCGAAGGUGACUCUCCAAAGUGUGUAGUAUGCCUCUCUUUAACUGCCAGGCACGGACAAGGAAAGACAGCUCAAAAGAGUCUUCAUUAGCUGGUAUAAUUGGGGAAUGAGAUGUUGAUUUAUCGAUAUUUUUUAAUUGGAGGAUAAUCUGUAACGCCCAACGCCGUUCAGAGGGCAAAAUCAUAUAUAGCCUAUCUUUCUUAUACCCGAAACUUCAGUUGCUUUGGUUAUGUGUUCUAUUAUGUAUUUUUAGCAAAUCCACCAUAUUAAUGACAAUAAAUCUACCAUGUAGGAAAUAGUUCAUCAAAUGCUGAGCCAAUGAAUUUUGAAAGCACCCUCAUAAAAAUAAGAUAUAGCAUUUGAUGAUUUUGGUAAGUAGAAUAAGCUGAUAACACACAUGCCUACUCAUGCAUCAUCACACCAACACAUACUCACACCCACACACGCACAGAGACACACAUAUUCAUACACACAGACACACACACACUGGUUCUUAUCCCAAACUUCACACAGAAAGCAGAAAGUUUAAAACACAUGAUAAACGACUAACUUUUAAGAAAGUUAGAUUGAGAGUAUUAGGAGCUGAUAAAUAAUUGGCAAGUUGAAAGUGCUGGAGUAAAGAGGUUUAAAGACAGGAUGACCAAAAAGUCAAUCUCAGAUUCCCACUGCAUCUCGGUUUCAGUCAAUCCACCCCUUCCCCCACCUCAACUUAGAAGCUGAGUUAUUUUCUCCCCUCUGUCAAAGCCAGUUUCUACACGCUUUUUUUUUUUUUGUUAAAUUUCUUCCUGAAGAUUUUUUACCAACAAUAUUUGAAUAUAGAGCUAUUGGUUUUUGGGGCUACGCAAUAUCUGUAUUUUUGUCCUGAAUUUUUGGAACACUGAAAUGCUAGCUAUAGAAUCUUUGAGUUACCCAGGUGGUAGUUAUUAACUGACAUGUCAUGGUUCAUGGUGAACAAGCUAGGUCAACAAACUUGUUUUUCAUCAUGGCUGGUUUUAAUUUGAAAGAGAGCUUGUUACCUAUUUGAUAAUGCUUCACUGAAGUUCACCUAUUUCAGGUAGAUUAAUAGCUUGUUCAGGAUGAGGAGCCAGGGGCCCUGUUGUAACUGUGUACCGUAGGUUCAAGGUUCAAACUUCAGAAAGCGUAAAUGUCCUUGUUUUUCUUCUACCUGUUUGCUAGUGCAUGCCUUAGUGAAUUUUAUACCUGGUGACACCUGAGUAAUCACAGGUUUGGAUCCUAUAGUAAUAGUGGGAGCCUUGUUAUAUCAUUAAGAAAGAAGUGUGUGCUGGUAGCGCUUUCCACGUUGGAAGAGUUUCAAUUUUGAAUGGCAGGGGAUUGGUGGGAUUUUUUAAAAAAUAUAUUUUCCUUAUCAUUCACUAGGAAAAAGAUUUGAAAUCUUUCUAAAAUGGAAUAUUGCAUUUCAGACCCAUCCAGACAACACAGGUAGUUAUUAGAUUGAAGUAAAUAGAUGAAAAAGGGCUGUUUAUGCUUGGACCAAUUCAUGGUGGUGAUCCAUCAACGGUUCCUUAAAUGAAUGUUUACGUGAAUACAUUAUAAUGUGUUUUAAAGUUUGUACUAAAUGAUUGUCUAAAAAUUGAUCUUAUUUUUAGAAGAGGGGAGUCUUACCACUUUUUUUUUGUUGUUUUAACUCUGUCAUGAAAUAGAUCAAUGAGCACAAAAGGUGUAUCAGCUAGCUCUGUCUCUCUGGAGAAAAAAAAAAUUCCUUUAUAAUGUGAUCUUUACGAAUGUCAGGAUAGCUGAAGCUCCCACUCAGAUUUUGCUUUUGAAGCAUUUAAAUUCAACCCUACCGUUUGAAGAUUAAGUCGCAAUGGAAAUAUUAAUGAUGUCUUUGUACUGAAAACAGCUUGGCAAUCUCUUAAACUGAUACGUUUCUAAAGAAACUCUCCAUUUCAAAUAAGAAUCUGAUAUUUGGAUCUCCUAACCGGUCUGAAAUAUAGUUUACCUACAUAGAUUGGCUAUCUAGGAGCUUGUAAACAAAUUCAUAAAUUUGUCAUGCUGAUUAUAGUGUUGGCAAACACAAUGGCUGAUCACGUUAUAAAUGUUUAUCAACACCCGCACUCACCCACCUGCUAAGAGGUGCUCUGCUUUAAUGAAAUUGUUGGAAUAUCAAGGCUGGUUGCUAAGAUACAAUGUUCUUGUUACUAGGCAUGUGAUGCUUGCAGAUUUCUGUUAUCAAAUAAUGAUUAGAGAUGUGCUAACCUCAAGGUGCUCAGUUCAGUGAAAGGUUUACUGAGCUACAAAUUAGUAAACUGUCUGCUUGAGCAGGCACUGGCAGAAGAAACAUGUGCCUCAUCCAUACACGACUGGCAUUUUAAAAGAAGACAGGAGAGGACAGGGAGGGUGGCCAUCAAUGACUGGUGGCUGAAAGUUUGCCGUAGAUGGUUUUUACCUACUGUAUGGCCCACCAUGAUAUAUCUUUAGCCAGCUGGGGAACAUGUUGAAACCCACUGACAACAAAUUCUUCCACUCAUGAAAAAUCCAUUCUUUACGUGUCCUUUAAAUUGGUUGUUGUGGAAUUAUUAACAUUAAGAAUUUUCCAUCUUUUGGUGAGAAAUGUAAGUACAUAGAACAUGUAACCCUACUGAACAGAAAUGUAUUUUAACAAGAACACAUUUCUUAAGAAGAUGCCGUGUUUAAGAAACUUAUUGAUAUAAAUGUCACAGUUAGUAUGAUAACCAAAAAAAACACCAAACCCACUGCCAUCAAGUAGAUUCCAACUUAUAGCGAAAACCCUGGUGGCAUAGUGGUUAAGUGCUAUGGCUGCUAACCAAAGGUCGGCAGUUCAAAUCCACUAGGUGCUCCUUGGAAACUCUGUGGGGCAGUUCUACCCUGUCCUCUAGGGUCGCUGUGAGUUAGUAUGAUGCAUUCUGGAAAUAAUGAUGCAAUUUUUAGAUUAAGAAUUCUUCCAGAAUAUAGAGAAUAUCACCAUGUAAGUAAUGGAAUGUUACUCUUUAUUUUCAUCUUAUCUCAAAUAAUGCAAUAGAGGUGACCAAAGCCAGGUUGUCCAGAUUGGUCCAAUUGUGGAUCUUGUUAAAUUAGGACCUGAGUUGAACUUAUGGUACCAAUAUUGCGGAUGCUUUGAGAAAACACUUUCACACUGCAAGAAUAUACAUGACUUUAUGAUGUUUUUGUUAUGCACCAUUGAGUCGAUUCUGACUCAUCCCGAACCUAUAUGACAGAGUAGGACUCCCCGCCAUGGGAUUUCCUAGGCUGUAGUAUUUACAAUAGUAGAUUGCCAGGUCUUUUCUUCCAUGGAGCCACUGGUGGGUUCAAGCCACCAACCUUCUGGUUAGCAGCCGAGUGCUGAACUGCUGCACCACCAGAGGUCCUUUUGACUUUAUGAUAGUCCACAGGAUUUCAAAGUGCUGCAGUCAUGACUAGGAAUAUUUUGGAAGUGUGUGAGCUACUGUGCUUCUGGUGUCAUGGAUAAUUUUUACUCUUGUUACUUUAUAAGAAGUUGUAAUUAUGAGGAUCACAGAUCUGAUGGAUAUUAAAUUGACUCUCGAAAGUUCCUUUAAUAAAAAUUGAAGCUGUAGAUAUAUUUUAAUAAUGAAGGUGUUAGAAUAAAAUGAUUUUUGUGUGUAAGAUCUGGCCUCCUAUUGAUCACCAACACCAUGAGAGCAGAGACUGAAUCUGUUUUUGCUCACUAUUGUAUAACUAUUCUCCGGAAGGGUGCCAGCACAGGUGAGGCGUGUUAUUAAUGAAUGAAGGAUACCUAGAGCUGGGAAAAUUUCACUAAUAUCCACAAUAGAUACUUAGAAGGUUGUCAGUUAAUUUUUUUCUUGCCUUUUGUGCAAAGUACAAAGAGAUCUAAAGAAAAAUAUAACAAUAUUUUAUAGUCGUUAAAUAUAUUUUAUAUAUCCCAGUUUUACAGAUGAGGGAAUCAAAGUUUAGAGGAAUCAGAAUGAAUUUCCCAGUGUUGCUUAUCUAAUGUGAGACAGAGCUGGGUCUGAAACCCAGGUUUAUUGUAAGCCUAGUCCUCUUUCCAGGAACCCCAACUACCUCUCUGUACUGUCAGAGCUGACUGGGGAAGACAGAGCUGCAAUCGUGAAGACCUGGGUAAGAACACAUUUUAAUUCAACUAACGUUAUGUGUCCAUCAGUUGGUAUUUAGUUGAUUCCAACUCAUGGUGACUCCACAUGUGACAGAGUAGAACUGUGCUCCAUACGGUUUUCAAUGGCUCAUUUUUCGCAUCCAGAUCACUGGGCCUUUCUUCUGAGGCACCUUUGGGUGGACUUGAAUCUCCAACCUUUCGGUGACCAGCAGAAUGCGUUAACCAUUUUACCACCUAAGGAUUCCUGUUAUAUGCUUACUUGAUGCUAAACAUUCAGUUAGGUAUGUGAAGGAAAAAAAGAAAUAAUCUGUAAAGUCUUUGGUCAUAAAACAUUUUUGGUUUAUUUGUAGAGAGGUGAUAUAUUCUCUCUAAAUAAUUUUAGGGCCAUAUAUGAAGUUCCAAAGAAAACAUGGCCUGAGCAUGGAGCAAAAACUCUCAAUGUGGGUGAGUUUAGGAGAGAUCUUUGAAAGGAUAGGGUUUGGUUGGAGGAUGUGGAUCUGUUACCAGUAAGAUCUGGGUUCAAAUUUUUGUUCUGCCACAUACUGGCGAUAUGAAUUUGAGCAAAUUCCUUAACCUCUAAUAGCAUUUCUUGUGAUAAUUUUCUCAUGCAGAUUCAAUAGUUCAGGUAUGUCAUGUGCUUGGAGCCCUAAGACAUACUCAUUGAUGAAUACUAUGGAAUUGAGCUUCAUUACAUUCAUUCUAGUCCAAAACUUGUUUCUGGAGUUCAAAUUUUUCUGCUUUAAUGAGAUAAGUAACUCUUUUUAUACCGACCAAUGUUGGAUUCCAUGAAACUGAUUAAUAUUUAUUGAUGAAUAUGAAAGGGAUGUUGCAGAAUUUUCCCAGGUUCUUAAGACUUUUGUGUUUCAAAUAGUAGAUUUACAAGCUCAAACCAAAAACCAAACUCAUUGCUGUCGAGUGGAUUCCGACUCAUAGUGACUCUAUAGAACAGAGUACAACUGUCCCAUAGAGUUUCCAAGGAGCGCCUGGUGGAUUCAAACUGCCAAUCUCUUGGUUAGCAGCCGUAGCUCUUAACCACUGCACCACCAGGGUUUAGAUUUACAAGCUAGGACAUAGUUAAUUAUAGUUGUACAGAGACUGAUAUGUAAGAGUUGCUUGGGCAGGAGUGUGUCGUGAGGGUGGGAGUGACCAGCGCUGGGUGGGGUUAUCUGGAAGAGAUUUGUUCUCUUCCUACUCACAGGGUUCUUAAGUGAGAAGCUAACUCUGAAUGUCAAAAGUGGUAUCUAAAGUCAAGGUAGUUAAAAUUACUAAUGCAAAAACCUAUUCCAGGGAGGAAGGAGCAAACAAACAAAAAACCCCAACAAAUCUCUUAACGUUCUCAGGACUGUAAUGCUUGUCGGCGAUGCGAUUUGGGCUGACUUCCCUUGGAAAUUAGCUGUUGUGGAUCCAGCAGCACACCCCUACACUUUCUCCCACUUCUUGUUUUAUCAUAAUUCAGUGCUGCUUUCUUUUUCUGGGCCUUCCGAAUGUCUCCAUUUGCAGAAUAUUUUAUCUUUAGUCUAAAUAAGAAUACUAAAUAUUUGGCCUAUUGGCUCAGAAGCCAGCUUGUCUAAGCCAAAAAUUGUCUCUACUGUCUAAUUUUUAAGGCUAUAUUUUAAAAUGCUUAUUCACCAGAGAGAAAAUUAUAAAAUGGACUAUUACAGAAAAAAAAUGAGAUUUACGCUACUUGGAGAAUGUGUUCUAUGCACCCAAACACCCAUUGUUCAUAUUUAGAGAUGCCCCUAAAUAUAGAUGUACUGAACUACCUACAUAUAAUUCAGAUCAUGUCAAAGCACAAACCCCUCUCUCAGUGUGGGGUAGUGUGGGCACUUUGUUAUCUACAGCAGCUGUUGCCUCUUUUUGAGGGGGAAAAACCUACUCCUGUUUAAAUUUAUGUUACAUUGAGCAAGUUGUGUUGCUUGGGAUUAUAUGUGGCUCAGCUGUGUCACGUGGCAUGACCUGAUAUAACCUGACUUAAUGCAGGCCACAUGCUGCACUGAAUGACACACAUUGAAACAUUCCACUUCUCCAAGGAGCUGCCUGAGCAGGUGAUUUCUCUAAAUGGCAGACACUCCCAUGCUUGUAUUUUAAACUUCCACCAGUUUAGCUAAAAAUAUCUUUAAAAGCCCACCCAAAACAUUUCCCUUGGUUAUUUUUGCAAAUUGUUGGGUGACUUACAAAGAGCAGGGAGGGAUGCAGAAGGGGAAGUUUUGAAUUAUUUACAUAAUUUGAUAGGAGGGUGCCUCCUUCAAAAAUUCACUUGGUGGAAGUCACAAAAAGAAUCUUACAUCACAUAAACAGAGUCCUAGAGAGGGGACUCAAUGAUAUGAUUGUGUUUGCUGCUGCCUUGGGUUCUAGCAAGUGGUGGGUUGUAUUUCUCACCAAGCUAAAUUUAAAACACAACCACCACAAGCUUACAUGAAAAUGCCUGUGUCCCAACAGACAACGUAUAAUAAUACACAUUGGGUUUAGUGAUGUUUUUCCCAGGAGCCCUGGUGGCACAGUGGUUAAGAGCUCGGCUGCUAACCAAAAGGUCGGCAGUUCAAAUCCACCAGCUGCUCCUUGGAAACCCUAUGGGGCAGUUCUACUCUGUCCUAUAGGGUCACUAUGAGUCAGAAUUGACUCAAUGGCACCAGGCAUGUGAGAACAACGAACACCAUUUGUCCUAAAUACAUCUUGUAGUGUUUUGCCAUCAGUGAUAAAAUUUUAUGUUGUGCCAUUCAGGCAAUUUUACUUGGCUUCCUGAAUGACUAAUAGAACACAUUGAUAGCACAAUUUAGAGCAUAUUUUUUCUUUGUUAUUAAGCAAACUGACUUAAUGGGGAUCUAACCUGGAGCCUUGAUUUCUCCAGCAUUGUGCUCCUACCAAGUAAGGUAAUUAGUCAGGUCCACGGCUUGGGACUCCCUGCAUGGCACAAAUGGUUUGCACUCUUCUACUAACCUGAAGGUUGGCGGUUUGAACAUGCCCAGAGGUGCCAUGGAAGAAAAUCCUGGUGAUCUGUAAAGAUUGUAUCUAAGAAAACCCUAUGGAACACUUCUAUUCUGCAUCACAUGAGGCUGUCAUGAGUUGGACUUGAUGGCAGCAUUUUUAUUUACUUUCUUUAUUUUAUGCCUUUAGAACCUAGUGAACCAUCACAGGUUUGGGAGUUAAGCAUACUGCUCAAAUCCCAGUUCCAGCUUGUACUAAAUGGAUGACCCAGCUCAAGUCGUUAGGCUUUUCUGAGUCUUUUUCUCAUCUAUAAAAUGAAACGUACAUUAUAGGGUGGUCAUAAAGAGGAAAUAAAACUAUGUGAAGUGCUUAGUAGAAUAUCUGAUACAUAGGAGGCAUUCAAAGCGAUGAGCUGCCAUUAAUUAAACUAUGUUAAGUUCAAUUACAGAAAGAUAAAACCAACACCGAGUAAGAUAAAUCAAUAGAUUUACAAUGAUACUCCAAGCUCUCCUUUGCUUUUUUUUUUCUAGAAGUAUUUAGGAGCCCAGCAUACCAAUCAGGUUAAUUUUCUAGGCAUUUGUUUUCUGACAUAUCUUGGUAUGGGUUUUAGAACUUUUGCUUUCUUUUCCCCUUUAACUAAUAUAUAUAUAUAUAUAUUUAUAUAUAUAUUUUACGCAGUGUUAUCAAGAUCUUGACUACUGUUUGAUUGACUGAAGACACAAUGUCAGGUUAACUGGGCCUAUCAAGAAAGGUAACGGAUUUUCAGGAAAGAAUCUAUUAAUGAUAGAAUAAUUUAUCAGUUGUAAAGUGCAUUUGUAUCAAGAUAAGUUCAUAGUAGGUGGAGCAUAAAAGAUUAUACUGCAAAAACAUAAAUCUAGUGGGUUAGAUUUGGUUACCAUCAGACAGAAAGUAAAUAUCGAAUGGGAAAUGGCUCUCCUAUAUUGGUAAAUUUACCUUUUGCCUCUAAAGAAUAACAUAUAACUGCCUUAACAGCCAUAGUUGUUUCUUUCAGAUAGAGUAUUCGAGUAAAGGCGACAUGGAAUGAUUUUCAGUCACUCCUCAGGGCAUGCCAUUACCCAUUUAUCAACCAUCCUUUUCCUCUUCUGUGAGGAAGAGCUCACAUCUUCCCUGCUCUUACUAGUUUGCCUUUGACCUCCUCUGACUUUUUGGGGACUUCUUUUCUUUAAGUUAAAUCUAAGGUUUUUCUGCUUUCUCUCCACAUUUAAGCUUUUGGAUUAAAAAAAAAAAUCUUAAACUGAUCAUUUUUUACACUUAUAUAGGAUGUUCUAGAGACAAAAUAAUUUCACGUGCUUCUUCUAACGAGACAAAAUUGAAACUGAGCAGCUGGCCUGGUUUGCUGACCCACAGAAGAUGGAUGAGUAAACAAGGGAUUUAAGAAAACACCUACGGAAAGAAAUUGGUUGGUAAAGGAAUGCUGUAUGCCAUUGAUGGCUUCCAAGAAGUAGAAUUACUGAGUGAAAGGAUAUAAAUAUUUUCAAGACCUGAAGAAAGAGUUGAAUACUUUUUAGAGGCCUAUGCAUCAUUUGGCUGAAAGAUGAUCUCCGGAAUUGGCUUCAGUUCCAGUUUAGAAAGGUGUCUAAAGACUCUGGCCUCGGGGGUUCCUUUAUCACCAUUUCUUAAAAGAGGAAACCAGGGCACAGUGAGGUUAAGAAAUUUGCCCAAGAUCAUAUAGCAGGGAAGUGACAGAACCAAGAUAUGAACCCAAUUCUUUCUGGAUCCAGGGCUUUUGCUCAUAGUCAAGGGGCUAUAUUGCCUCUACAGGGUAUGAGAGUUUUAAUAUUGGUGAAUAUUUCAAAAUUAUUCUCCAAAAUUUUAACACCAUAUUAUAGUGCUAACAAUAGUGAAGGGUGCCUAUUUCCCUACACCUUCAGCAAUCUUGAGUCAGUUUAAAUUUUGCCAUCCUGACAUGUGAGAAAUUAUCACACUAAAUAUCACGCUGGCUUGUGAGCACCUCCAGAACUAUGAAUUGGAACAUGAAGAGAAGCAAGAGAGAUCCUAGACACUUCUGGGAAAUGAUACUUGUUAUGCAAGAAUCUCUUGCUUUCAUACUGAGAAGAAGAUGAUUAAUUUGCCCUUUCUCUUACCUAAUUGUGCAUUUGUCACUCAUUUGAAGUGGAGUCCUUCUCCAAUGUCAGCAUAAACACAACCCUCAACCAUUCACAAUUACUUUUUAUUUUAAGGAUUUAGAGCAAAGGAAGAGAAGGAACAUUUCCCUGGAUUCUGAAGGGUGUUAAUUAUGAGAGUGGAUAUUCAAGGUUAUAGACUACACUGUAUUAUGGCUGGCUGCUGAAAGCCACAUGACAGAUGUGCUCACAUGUUCUUUAGUACCCUUAUUGUGUGAGUGAGUGAGUGAGUGAGUGUGUGUGUGUGAGUGACAUGGAGGGAGGUUCCAAAGAACAAGACCAAGGCAAGGCUCCAUCUUAACUAGAUCUAAAGGCACUGUUUCCUUCAUUAGUUAUUUACUGAACAUCUACUCUAUGUAGAUCUUAAGCUAAGCAUUGGGAAUAUAAUGACAACCAAAAGAAGUACUGUCCUUAAUAUUUGUGGAGCUUGUAGUCUGGCAAGAGAGACUUAAAAUAAUUAAAUUACCACACAGUCAAAUGUCAGCUGUGUUAAGGGACACGAUGGUGUGAUACAUGAUACUAUGAGAACUUAUGAACAGUCAUGAAUGUCUUCCCUGAGGAGCUGAUAUUUGAGCUAAGAUCUGAAUGAUAAAGAGUCAUUAAAAUGUUUUCUUUCUGAAAGGAUCGCAUCGGCCACUCUUAGCAGAUUUAGUUGAAGACUAGGCAGGUAAUACCUGGAGCUUUAUUGUCAUGGUCCAGAGAUAGACAAUGAUGAUGGAGGUUCAGGUGUUUGUGGUGGAAAUGGAGAAAAAGUGACAAGUUCAAGAAAUGUUUAGAAGAGAAAGUCAACAGGACUUGAUGGUUUUCAUUUGGAUAGUAAAGGAAAGGGCAGUGUCAAAGAUGAUUCCAGGUUCCUGGCUGUAUACACGGACUAGUGGUAAUGCUGUUAUCAGUUACUGGGGUCACUAGAAUAGAACUCUGCUGGGGAGAAGGACAUUCUCAGUCUGGUUUUGGAUAGGUUGAACCCUCAGUGCCUUUGAGACAUCGAGAAGAUAAGAAUCUUACCUGUUGUGUUCACUUUUGCAUAUCGGUACCUAGAGAGUGGUGUCCUGCAUUUGACAUGUGCUAAAUAAAUAUAUUUUUUUAAUAAGUCAAAGAAGGCAUGCACUUCCAAUUAUUUAGGUUACUUUACCUUUUUAAUAGUUUUUUUUUUUUAAAGCAUUUUCUUCUUGAAGAUUUAACGCAAUUUAUAAAGCUUUUUAAAGUAGCUUGUUUCAGAAAGCUUUUUAAAGUAGCUUGUUCGGUCUAAUGGUGAUGAAGAUGAUGAUGUUUUGUUGCUAUGGUUACAAGGAUUUUUUCCCUGUCACAUGCUCUGAUCAGUUUUUGCUUCUGUGUAAGAAAGUUAUUUACUUUUAAAUUAAUGUAAACCAGCCAUUUCACUUCAAUUCUCAGAUUUUUUUUUCCUAAUGAUUUUUCAAUCAAUUCUCUAGGUUCUUUUAGUUAUGGAUUUCAUUAUUUGAAAAUAAAGAUAAUUUUUGCCUCCUUAUGACCUUUUUUUAAAGAUAUUUAAACAUAUAUUGUUUCAUUUAAUUCUUCACAUGAUCUAAGUUCAAAACUUCUGAUGAGAGUCUUUCCUUAGGUAAGCCAGCAUACAGCUUUAUAUUAGAGCAAAAUUUCAAUUUUGAUAUGAAUUUGUCUAGAAAAUAUAAGUUUCAAAGCAGUUUUUUUCCAAAUUUUUUUAUUUUAACACCUUACUAAGAAAAAUUAAAUGUAAAUAAUGGGAUUGUGUAUGCUGCAAAUGAAGCCAAUGCCAGGAAGAAUAUUCAUUCAUUCAGAAGUGUCUGGUACAUACCAGGAACUGCGUCACUGGUGGAAUGCAGCAAUUAAAAAAAAAAAAAAAAAUCUGCCAUGAUGCAACUUGUAUUCUAGUGAGGAUGACCAACAGUAACCCAGACAAAGAAAUAUAUGGUUUGUUAGGGAUAGGUGUUAAGAAUAAAAACAGAGUAGGGAAGGAGAAUAUGAGGACAGGGAUGAUGAAACUUUAGUUAGGAUGUCUAGGGAAGGCCUUAUUGAAAAGAUAAUAGUACAAACAAGAAGGAAAUUAAUGGAAUGCCACCUGGCCCUCUGAUGGGUAUUUCCAGGCAGAGUAACACCUUUAGUACAAUGGCAGACAGUGUCUGGUCUGUUCUUAGAAUGGGGCUGUGGCCAGUGCAUGGAGCAGAGAGAUGGGGAUGUAAUCAAAUAAUUCAGAGAGAUAAUGGGCAUGGGUGGUAGGGUAGGUGGCAGAUAAUAAGAGCCUUAUGGGUCAUAGUAAGGAUUUUGGCUUUUCCUCUGAGUCAAAUCAGAAGGCACAGGUAUGCUCAGAUUGAAGGAGUGACAGGACCUGACAACGAAUUGGUCACUCGGGCUGCUCUAUUAAGAACGGUCUUCAAGUAGACUAGGAGAUUUGUUAAGACCUAUUUCAAUAAUACAGACAAGAGGUAAUGGUGGCUUGGGACAAUUGGUAGCAGUGGAGGUGAUGAGAUGUGAUUGUAUUCUGGAUGUUUUUGAAGGUUGAAUCAACUGGAUUUCUUAGUUGAUUAGAUGUGGGGUAUGAAUGAGAGAAGUUAAUGAUGCAUAAAGGUUUUUGGUUUGAGCACCAAAGGAUGGAAUUGCCCUUCAUUGAGAUGGGGUAGACAGGGAGAAGAAUGUAUUUUUAUUGGAGUAUAAAGGUUGUUUAUUAGGAGUUCAGUAGUUGCAUUAGAGCAGUAGAAUAUUAAGAAUGGACAGAUGGGUCUUACAGGCUUUUUUCAUCCCCUUUUUCUUCAGUCCUGACCCAUGGCAACCCACUGAUGAAUGGGUGACACCCAGGCAACAUCAAGCUGAAGUAAGGAGAGAGAAGAUGAGGAAAAUCUCAAAGUGAACAGGGGAGAGAAAAGUGAACCAGGCUACCUUCUCCUGUGUAAGAGAUUUAAUUACAUUUGCUUAUAGUGAUGUUUGUUGUUGAAUUACAGAACGUAGUUUUGUAUUACAGAAUUAUUCAUAGAUAUCCCUUUAUAAAGGCCCAGAUUCACCCAUCAUUUUAUUUAUGUAACAAAUGCUUGUGAAACAUCUUGUACGUGCUAGUUUUUGUGCCACGAGGAAGGAUAAGGUUUGGUACUUGCCUUGAAGCAGCUCACAACCUGGAGGACAAAUGUAUAUAAAUAAAUGAUGAGAGAUAUUAUUAUAGAGUGGAGGCCCCAGACCUAUGAGAUUAGAGAGUAGGGGAUGGCAUAUUAGGUGAUCUGGGCUAUGUAGCUACCUCUCUUUAUGAUUUGAUUCUGAAAUUCCAUUUUCUUGGUAUUCUUAUUUUCUUUUAUGAAUCAGGAGUUUAGCUACUAACAGAUUGCAGAGCAAUGUAUCAUAAGACUUUUCGUUGCCUGAGCUGAAUUUCCUACAGGACUUGCAAAAUCUUGGGUCAUGGGAUUCCAACCUAAGACUUAAAAGAAAAAAACAGUCCAAAGUUUCUGUUCCUUGUUCGUAAUUCUCCUAAACACGAUUAUCUAGCUUCUUCUCCAAGUGCCAUGACAAAGCAAAGUUUUUUCAAGAGAGGCCCCAAACCAACCCACUGCCAUCGAGUUGAUUUCGACUCAUAGCGACCCUAUAGGACAGAGUAGAACUGCCCCACAGGGAUUCCAAGGCUGUAAAUCUUUACAGAAGCAGGCUGCCGCAUCUUUCUCUGGAGAAGCCAUUGGUGGAUUUGAACUGCUUAUGUGCAAAAUUGAAUGUGCUCUUUAUGUUUGAAGCACCAGUACAUGUGCUUGAGACUAGUAAUAUUCAGUGGCCAAGAGUUCAAGGAGAAUUUUAAUGGUAGAGAGAUGAAAAUAUCUGUAAAUAUUGUACUCCUAUUGUUCACCCUUUCAGUAGGGCUCUGUGAGCACCAUCAUUCAUUCCAAAGAGCACACACUUAGUUCCUGUAGGAUUUCCUCUUCUGUUUUUGUUGCAGACUGGAGAUCCAAAAGAGCUUGAUAGACAUGACUGUUGGUUGCCUUAGGGUGGUCACAACCCUCUUAGCUUCUACUGUAAAAUAUUUCUUGAAAGAGACAAUACAGUUUUCUACCUUUCAAUUGAUGGAGAUGUAACGAUUGCUUUAGAUUCAUGAAGGACAUCUGUGCAAUGCCCACUGAGAUUAAGUCAUGUUUCAGAGUUAUUUUUCUUUUCACAGUCUUCUUAUUUCUGAAAAAUAUAGUCAGAGGACAAGGAAAAGGAGGGAAAGUAUGGGAAAAAAUAAAAUAAUGAUGAAGUGGUAUUUGUUAAUUUAUUUGUCUAACAAAUGCUUUUAAGUUCCCACCGUGUGUGAGGGUCAUUUUUCGUGGUUAAUUUGUGAGGGCCAAGCAUUAGGCUUGUGUCUAGAGCAGGUUAAGAGGAGAUUUCACUCCACUGUGUUUGUGUUUGGGGAAGUGUGACUUUGCUUCAGUGCUCCACCACCCUUAAGGAGUCCACACCCCUGCAAUUACCAAGAAUUAUAGAAAACUAAAAAAAACCAAACUCAUUGCUGACGAAUCUAUUUCAACUCAUAGCGACCCUAUAGGACAGAGUAGAACUGCCCCAUAGGGUUUCCAAGGCUGUGAUCUUUACAGAAACAGACUGCCACAUCUAUCUAGCAGCUGGUAGGUUUGAACUGCUGACCUUUUAGUUAGCAGGCAAGCACUUUAACCACUGUGCCCCUAGGGCUUCCGUAAGAAUUAUAGAAGUAGUGGCUUAAUGUCCUUCCUAUCCAAAGUUCCCCUUCCACCAUCUCCACAUAUGGCACCUAACCUAUGCCUUCUGCUAUGUAUCCACUCAAUUGACAUAGUUUAGCUAGAGUCAUUUAAGAAAGGUUUGUUUGUGAAUACCUUUAAUGAAAUAAUUUGCAGUGACAACAAAUAAGUUUUCUAAAAUGCUGGAGAGCACAGGAAAAGAUUAGAUCAAGAAAUCAGCUGUUUAAAAAAUUCCAUAUUAUUUUUUUUUCUAAUUGCCUAUGAACCUAGAGUAUCACAUUACAGGCUAAACAGAACUAUAUUUGCCCCUUGAUUUUGUUUACAAUUAAUUAGAUUUAAAACCUUUAUCUUUUUAUUUCCAAUUUUUAAUUUAUUUAUGUUUCGGUGUAUUUAGAAGAAUGUAUUCAGCCUAGUUUAAUGAGUAAUUAUUGAGCCCUACUAUUUUUUAUGUGCCAGGUGCUACUAGCUAGGUGCUGGUUCAUAUAUAUGACUUAGCUUCUGCAGCUUGUACUUCAGUGACCACUGGAGUGUAAUUAUAACAAUUGUCAUAAAAGCCACCGUGCUUUAUUCAUCUAUUAUGUGACAGGAACUCUGCUAGAGUUUGUUCAUAUGCGUUUUUUAAUCCUCCCAAUACUCGAGCAAGGGGCAUAUUAUUUCCAUAUUUAACCGACAAGGAAACUGAGAUUCAGUGGGGUUUGGUCACUUGCUCAAUGUAACAGCCAGUAAGAAGUAAAGUUAGAGCUUAAUAUUUGGAUCAUCAUAUUUCAUGGCUUGUACUUUUUCCAUUAUAAUACAUUGCUUUCUAGAAUGAGGAAAACCCACACCUUUAAAGCCAUGUGACAUAGGUUGAUGUGAUUUUGUGCCUAAUUAGGUGCCAUUAGUUAGAAAAAACAGUUUCUACCCAGCGUCCUAGAUGAAUUUGUAUAUAAGAAAAAAUAAAAUUAAUUUGAGUUGCUCCCUUUUCUGGAACAACUGAAAGGUGAAGGCAAAAUAAUAUUGUAUAAUUUUAGCAAGCAUCUAAAAUUUACAAAGGAAUGUUGUCUUCUCUACCUAAGUCAUAUUGGGGAGAGAACAUUAAAUUCAAUGAUAUGUGUCACUGUUCAAAAUUUUUUGCAACUCCUUUUUCUGAAAUUAUCCUUAGAUUUAUUUUUCAUCCAUCAUGCCAAGCUAAUUUUAUUAUUUAAGGAUUGAACUUAUUUUAAAAAUAGACUUGAUUAAUUUAUCAGCAGACUUAUUUCUAAGUAAGCUUUGGAUGUUUAUAAAAAUCAAACCUACUGUUUAAGAAUGACCAUUUGCCACAAUGGACAUUUAAAACAAUAUGAUAGAGGCUUUGAGGGCAAUCCCACAAAGAUAUCUUGAGCAAUCUAUAGAACCAAUGUAGUUUUUCAAAGUCACUACUUGGAAGUGGGCAACAUUUACUGGUUUGAAUUCUUAUAUUUUUAAUAAAUGAUUGCUUUGUAGUUACAUGUCAUCCAGGUAGAUCGACUGCAACGAAGUAACAACUCAAAGGGUUCUUUGCUAUGUUGUAUGUGUGUGUGUGUGAGUGUGUGUGUGUUUCUUUUGGCUCCACCUCUCCUGAUUCUUGUCCAUGAAGAAGAGAACAGCCAUUUCAGGCAGCACCUUCCAAAAGAUCAGGAUCCAAUUUAAAACAAAAAAGAUAGAGAAUGAGAAAGAGAGAGUGAUAGAGAAAGAGGGAGAGGGUGAAAUAAUCAAAAUGAGGAAGUGAUUCCUCUAGUUAUCAGAAACAGGAGCGAAGUAACAAUGGCUGAAAUUCACCUCCCCAUGGGGGAAUGAAUCAUCAAAAUAACCGGUGGAAAACAAGGUUGUGCAACCUUGACCAGCGUGUGUCACCGGCUGGUGGAAUUUUUAGAAAGGCAGCAGUUUGGGUUCAUCACUGCGGUUCGUGAUUGCACACACCUGUUUGGGGCAUGGAUUUUGCAACCCCCCAAAAAGGGGAAACUGAACUCGCUGCUCCUCCCGAGCUGUGCAAAAAAGCAGAAAACCACAGCUGCUCUAGCAGUUAACAGAUAUCAGUAAAAUACCCAUGUUACAUAAUUAAGGAUAACGUUCUUGAAGCAUAUGGGCCGGAGGUAUUAUACUCUCAUUAAAACCUUAGGUAGGAAACAAUUUAGCAUAUUCUCACACAUUUCUAAGGUUGAAUUCUAUAAUAAAUGUUUGUAAUUAGGCAUGCUCCAAACAGUUUAUUAAAUAAUACAUGAAGAAAAUGGCUGAUGAAAUAUAGACGCUGGUUCUGUGUUUUGUGUAGGGUGACACAGAGGCAUCAAGUUGAGACAUAAAAGAUUUCUUCUCAUUGACUUGAUAACUAGUCACCUUGGGCAGCUUAAGUAAGCUUGGAAGAGGUUUCAUUUAUCAGACCGGCCUAUCUGUAAUCUUAAAGAUGCAGGAAUUGACAACUCUGGAUGUUUUUCUUUUCUUUUAAACCACAUUAUAGGCAGCAGUCUUUGAACUCCUUCUCUUGAGGGGGAAGAGGUACUUUUGACCAGAGCACUAUAAAAAAGCUCAUGCAUUUUAUUUUGGCAGGGAUAGAUCAGCUUCAUGGGAGAUAACAGGGGUGGAUAGAGCCAAACCAGAACGAAAUCAACAUUUUGAAAAUGACACUGUAGCCAACAGGUGCUGUUAUAUGUAAGUGGUUGAGGAAAAAGAGAGAGAAGUCUCUUCCAAAUCACCAAGGUAGGUGUUGGAUCCCUGGGAAGUGGUAGGAAAUGUCCCUGUGAGAUGAUAUUACAUGCAGGAAAGAAAUGUUUUUAGUUCUGUAUCCUUAUUUGAUAUUCAAGCCAGGUGAUUAAUGGUCAAUAAUUCUUGCCUGAACACAAGAGUGUGAGAUCUAUGAAAAAUGAGCCCAGGAUUUGCCCAGGAAGUCCCCAAAAGAAGAAAUGAACACUUGCUCAAACCAUCCAGGUCAACUAGAUAUUUUGUUUUCCACUGCCCACAAAUAAGAAAUCUGGUAACAGAACAAUCAUGAAAUUUGGAAUGUCUUCUAGAAAAUAUGUGGGGAAACUGGGCAAGGUUGACAUAGCUUUUACUGAUUUGUCUGCUUAGUAGGUAACGGGACUGCCAGUCUGGCAGUUUGUGUUGGCAAUAAAUCACCACUAGACAUUUUAUUUAAAAAUUGGCACUGGCCUGGGGGAGGUAAGGAAUUGUCAAUUUGCUUUUAUUUUGAGGCCAGGCCCAAUCAUAACACACACAGGCCACCUGGAAACCUCAGUGCACGUGGAGAAGCAUGGCUCAAGUCUCAGUGGCUAUAUUUUUGCAUGUCUGCUGAGUGCAGAGCUAAACCAGAGCCUGGGGAUGCUGACCAGAGAGUUUCUGACAGGGUGGCACAGCUUGGAGACACCUCUUUUGGAAACCAGGUUGGUUCUAGAGUUAUGAGAUAGGAAGGAUUUCAUAGUUAUGAUAUAAACCAAAAAACUCAUUGCUGUUGAGUCAUUUCUGACUCAUAAUGACCCUCUAGGAGAGAGUAGAACUGCCCCACAGGGUUUCCAAUGAGUGCCUGGUGGAUUCGAACUGCCGACCUUCUGGUUAGCAGCUAUAGCUCUUACCCACUACACCACCAGGGUUUCCUAGUUAUGAUAUAGUAGGGAAAAUUUGAUUAUUUUUUUAUUUUAUUAUACAGAGUGGGAUCUAUGGAGCCCAUGCAUAGCACACAACGAGUGUAUUCAAAACCUCACUCUAAUGCUUAAGAAUUCCGUAGCUCUCUGUUUUUGUAUCUGCCUUAUUUUGCUUGGAAGUUCACUUUCAAAUUUAUGAUAAAUUGAGUCAUAAUCUGGAGAGAAAAAAAAUACUGAAGUAAGGCAUCAAGGAAGCAUGGUCCUCAUUUAAGCAAUGAUAGAUACUCUGUUUUUGAAAAGCAGUGUAAUUAAAAGUUGAUACAAUGGGAAAGAAACAAGUUACCUUGGACUCCUAUGGUUAUUCUAACAGAAAUAUUUGAAACGAGUCCCCUUGCUCUCAUCUGUUUCCCGAUUUCCUUGAAUAUUCAUCAAAACCUUGCAACGUCCCUUCAUAUAUUUUUGGAUUUAAGUAUACUCAUUUUGAAAACAUAAAUGUUAGUGUGUCAGGACAAGUACAUUACAUAUACAUUGAUUUACCAAACUACCAAUUUUUUCUUCUGUUUGCAUAUGAUAUUUAUAAAUCUUAAUUGUACCUCAUAUCAUUACCAUGCGAACUCUUAGAAAAGGAUCUGGUUUAAGAUAGAGAUGUAUUGACUUAACCAUGACCUCAUGAAUAAUUCAAUUUGUUCACUUUCUGGAAAUACACAGUUUGCUCUUGUUGCUACAAAUAUUUGAAUUGGAUUUAACUUGUCCAUCAGAGAUUUUUUUUCCUCUCUCCUGGAUUUCAUAUACGUAAUUUUGAUAUCAAAAUCUACCAAAAAGUAGGAAAAAUAUGCUCCCUAAUUUAUGCUUGCUGAAGUCAUUCAAAGUGACAUAAAAUGACAAGAACGAACAAGGAAAUCGCUUCAGUGAUAUGCUGAAGCAUUUGGCAGUUUUCCUGGUAUUUGGGACAUGAGAAUAUUUAAAGAUAAGAGAUAUGUGGCAUUAAUUACUCAUAAAAACUUGAAGCAUCAUAUAUCUGACCUGAUAGGAUUCCUCUUUGUUUGUUUUAAAAUACAUAGUUUCAGAUCACUUAACAAAUAUUUACACAAGUAAAUAUUUAAAUAUCCUCUUAAAAAUUUAAUGACAUCCAUAUAUCUUAGAUUGCAAAGUCCUAUAAGAUGUCUGCUAGCAAAUGACAAUAUUCAUAAAAAAAAAAAAAUAGAAAAAUGAGAAAACCCCCAGAGCAGUCACUUAAAAAAAAAAAAUACCACAAUUCUGCCAGGUUGAGCACAUCCAAUGCCUGCACUAAAUGUCAUGUCGGCAAAUCUUCACUCAAAAAGAUCAAGACGCAGCAUAUAUGAAGCUAAGGAAGAAAUAAAGUGCCUAACACCUCAAAAUAUCUUGGGGAGCCUCCAAAAUGAUACAAGUAAUUAGCAGGUGUUGAGAUUUUUCAUUUUGAUUUGCUCACCUAGUCAUUUAACAGUACGUUUUGUAGAAGGUAAGGUAAAGAUUUUCAUCUUGGCAUGUGUUUCCAACGUUUGCUUGGAUUUAAUAUACACACUAACUUGGGUAGAAGUUUUCCAGUCUGGAUUUAUCAGCCUUGAUGGCCCUGAAAGCUAAUAUGUAAAAGCUUACAAGGUCCAUGAGCAAUGAACACUGCAGAUUUCCAGCUAACCUGUUAAUUCCAGGGUAGUUAAGGUGCUAGGAGCCCUGGUGACGCAGUGGUUAAAUACUCGGCUGCUAACUGAAAGGUCAGCGCUCGAACCCACCAACUGCCCCUUGGGAGAAAGCUGUGGCAAUCUGCUUCCAUAAAGAUUAUGUAUAGCCUUGGAACUCCGAUGGGGCAGUUCUACUCCGUCCUUCAGGGUCAUUAUGUGUCAGAAACAACUUUGAAGGCAGUGAGUUUGGUUUUAUUUAUUUAUUUAUUUUUGGUUAAGCUUCUAGUGUUUACCUUCAUUAUUUCUCCUACUGUUUAAGAGUUACUAUGAGGCAAAAUUAUGUGUGUGUGUGUGUGUGUACUUAUGAGUGUGAAGGAAAUGUUAACUCUAACUCCUUUUGUGGAGAUCAUAGCUGUAAUGUUGUUUUCUUAAAGAAAAUCCUUUCUUUUUUAUCCUGGAGUUCUGAUGUGGAUAAAAUAGUUGGCUUAAGUAAAAUGUAUUGAGAUAUGGGGAUUAAUGGGGAUAAAAAUGAUUCAGGGGAAAAUAGUAUAUUUUUUAAAAGGUAUCUUGUUCUCAAAGAAAAUAAAAUGUUAUUAACGUUCAUUGAGUUCUUUGAGCACAAAAGGGCACGUGCGCGCACAAACAUUCUCACCCUCACUCACUUGCUUGCUAACUCAAGCAAAAAUAGUCUCUGAGGGAAAGAGAUGCAACACUGGUGCCAACUUCCCCAACAUACCCAAGAAUUUCUUUAUUUAGAACUUCUCAUGUGCUAUUUUUUUUUUUUUAAAUCUCUGGAAUCCCAGGGAUUUUCCCAUCCCUCUACAUGCUUGAGACGUUUCAGAGCAUGGUAACCCCCUCUUGGAAUCCUCUAACUCUUCUGGUUUAUUUUUAAAAUGCAGGCACUGUUAGUAUACAGGGAAGUGACUGUUCCUAUGGCAAAGGAAGGUGACAUGAUUCCCAGCCUGUGCAACAAUACUUCUGAAGAUCGUUGUAGGGUAGAGAGGCCAACACCAUAAGCCACCAAGGCCUUUCAUUAAGGUGCUCCUGGAAAUCAAGGGAUUUUAGUCAAGAUUUAAAAUCAAGAACAUUCUAAGAAGAAGAAGAACUUAUAUUAAUCACGGGCUUCAAUCCACAUGCAAUUCAUCCAAGGUGAUUUCUGAAUAAUGGUUUCCAAUAAAGAAAUUGAGGCUCAGUGAAUCACAUGAGCUGACCAAAGGAUUCAGGAAGAUUCCUACGGAGGACUAACCCAUGGAGGACUAACCCACAAGGAUUUGCCUUAGAAAAAACAAUCUGCAUGUCACUGGGAAGACAGAAAAGAAGAUCAUAAAUACAAUCAUGGCCUUGAAUCUUCGCCCACUCAGAACUGCAUGUGUGUUCUUCCAAGUCAUCACUCUAUACCCAGAACUGCCUUUUCUUGAACACACCACAGGAUACCUCACCCUUUUACUCUUAGGAGUCCAUCUGUUCUGUGAAGCAUUCCAGUGACAAUAACCACCUACCACCUUGUGCUGUUAUACAGUUAUCUUUUCACCCUCAUCCUGUUGAUCUUGAGUGUAUUAUUUAAGACGAGUACUUUUGUUCUUUCUUUGCUUUUAAAUUAUAACUGGUGACAUGCUUUAUAAACUCAUAAAAAUUAUACUUCACAAAGGGACGUCCAACAUAUUAGGUAAAGCCAUUUAUAACAAUAUGACACCUACAUGAAGAGAGAGUUGCAUUGCGGGUAGAGUAGUAGGUUAUCUCAAUGGUUUAUUGCAAUGUCAAGUAUUCAUAUUUUCAGGUACGAGCCUUGUGGGACCAGUUAGCUUUAGUAUAUGCUAUAGUUGAAAACUUUAGCUUUGCAAUAUUCGGCUAUUUCAAGACUAAGGUGAUGUUACUGGGAGUAUGAAGGUAGCAGAGUGGUAUAGUAUAAAGGACAGUAUUCAGUCUAUCAGACCUGGGUUCAAAUUCCAUCACCAGUAUUCGCUUGUGAUCCUAAACAAAUUAAAUGACUUUUCUGAAACUAUUUUUUUAAAUGCAAAAUUAUGAGAAUAAUUCUCAUGUUUUAGAAUUUCUAUGAAGGUUGAGUGAAGUAAUGGAUAUUUGGAAGAACUAAUUGCAGGGUCUGACACAAACCAAUUCAACGUAUGUUUAUAUCUACAAUCCAAAGCUCUACCGAGAGAUAUAAAAAAUAACUUUCUACCUGAUUCCUCCGUGUUAGUUUUUUCCCCAAGCCCUAUGUAUCAACAAGAUGAAAAUGCACUCAUCCUCUCCCUUCACCCCCCAACCUACCUCUCCUGUAUUCUAAUCUCUGGAUGAAUGACAUUGCUACUCAAAUACGUCCUCAGUCAGAAACUUUUAUUUCUCACUUCUCACAUCCAACCAAGCACUGAGAGCCAGUGGAUUUUGCCUCUUAUAUUCAUUGUUACAGUCAAUGCCUUAAUUAAAACUCAAAUACCUUGCUUGCAUCACAGUCAUUUCUAAAUCAACCUCCCAGUUUUCAGUCUUAAAAAAAAAAAAAAAAAAAAGAUUAAAACCAAGCCAUGGCCAUACAGUCAAUUCUGACUUACAGUGACCCUGUAAGAGCAGAAUUGCCCCACAGGGUUUCCAAGGCUGUAAUCUUUACAAGAGCAGACUGCCACAUCUUUCUCCCAUGGAAUGGCUGAUAGGUUUGACCUUUCAGUUAGCAGCCCAGUGGUUAACCACUGCACUACCAGGGCUCCUUUUUCUCAGUCUAGGAUGUUGCAAUUCAUACUCCUUACACGGGGGGAUCUUUUUAAAAAUAAAAAUCUGUUCAUGUUAUUCUGUUCCAAAUCAUUCAAAGGUUCCUAUAACCUACCGGACAAAAUUCAAACUUUUUAGCAUGAUACUCAAGCUCUCUCUGGUUUCAAUAUUUAUUACUCUUCUCUAUACACACUGAGGAAACCCUGAUGGUGUAGUGGUUAAUCACUACAGAUGCCAACCAAAAAGUCAGCAGUUUGAAUCCACCAGGUGCUUCUUGGAAACUCUAUGAGGCAGUUCUACUCUGUCCUAUAGGGUUGCUAUGAGUCUGAAUCAACUCGACAGCAGUGGGUUUAGUUUUUUUUUUUUUUAUAUACACACUGAAGGAACCCUGGUGGCACAAUGGUUAGGACUCAUCUGCCAACCUAAAAGUCAGUGAUGCGAACCCACCCAGAGACUCUGUGGGAGAAAAGACCUGGUGAUCCGCUCCCGUAAAGAUUACAUUAUAGUGUUACUAUGAUUUGGAAUCAACUUGAUGGCACACAACAACAACAUACACCCUGACACCUCUCAUUACCACCACACAUUUCUCUACAGUCACCCCGAAUACAUUACUGUUUGUCUUAGUCUGAGUUCUAACAAAAGCAGAGCCCGAGGCAAGGAUAUGGUUGCAGUUUAUUUGGGUGAUGAUAGAAAGGAAUAGAGAAGAUAAGGUAUGUUCUUGUCAGAGUAUGUUACUGAAGUUCCUACAAAGGGCAAUAGAGCGUCAUUCUUUGAAACCUCUGAGGAACCUGUAGUACCACCAGCAUCGGCAGAAGGAUAGGAAGCUGAGGUGUUCGUCUAUCAUCUCCACUGGUUGAAGGAUGCCUUUGGGUAUAACACUCAACACUUCCAAGCUGUAUUUGUGCAGGGGCUAGUGUGCUUCAAGAACUUCAGAGAAGUGCUUGAAGUGAGAAGUGCUUGAGUGGGAUGCUGACUCUGAACUUGCACAGAACUGUGUAUCACAGCUGUAGCUGAAAUCACUGAUGGGCCAAGGGACAUGGCAGUGAACAUGAAAGAAUGGUCAUACUGCCCUACGCUUCUGUGCUUUUCAUGAAUUAUUCCCAUGUACCUAAUAUGUCUCACCUUCUCCCAAUUCAUAUCCUUAAGUUAUAUGAUCCCUCGAGUUUCAGUUCCAGAAGUAGCCCUGCUAGGAAUUAUCCCCUGAUCAUCAGUAUUACCUGACUGUCUUUCUUUUCUACUGCCAUCGCAUUCAGGAUGGUGCUACACCAUGCCGCAUAUCAUAUACAGUUGUUAGUUGCUGUUGUGUAGAUUCUGACUCAUGGCGACUGCAUGUGUGCAUCGGUAGCACUGCUCAUGGGGUUUUCAAGGCUGUGACUUUUUGGAAGCAGAUCACCAGGCCUGUUUUCUGAGGUGCCUCUUGAGGGGUUCGAACUGCCAACCUUUUGGCUAGUAGUCAAGUGCUUAACUGUGCCAGCAAGGGAUUCUACAUAUCACUAAAUGGCACUUACUGCUUUACUAUCUUUCUGUCCCUAGAAUAAAAACACCUUGAGAGUGGGCAAUGUUUAUUGAAUAAAUGAAGGCAUAAACAAAUAGAAGAAAAUGGAGCCACCAGAUCGAUCUUUCCAAAGUGUUAUUUCCAAUCAUGUCAUUUUUUUUCGUCAAAAAUCAUUACCUCUACCUUGCUAACACAUAAUGAUGACAUUCUUUAACUUGAAUUUCUAAGUGGUCUAUGCAGUAGUCCUCCCUUAUCCAUGGUUUUGCUUUCUGUGGUUUCAGUCGCCCUCAUUCAACUACGGUCAGAAAAUGUUAAAUGAGCAGUGUGAUGAAAUCUUGUGCUGUCUCACUCUGUCUGCACAGGACGUGAAUCAUCCCUUUGUCUAGCAUAUGCACGCUCUAUACGCCACCCCCCGCCCCCGCCACUUAUCGCUUAGGAGCUGUUUCAGUUAUCAUAUCAACUAUCAAGGUAUCACAGUGCUUGUGUUCAAGUAACCCUUAUUUUACUUGAUAAUGUCCCCAAAGUGUAAGAGCAGUAAUGGCGGCAAUUCGAAUAUGCCAAAAAGAAGCUGUAAAGUGCUUCUUUUAAGUGAAAUGGUGAAAGUUCUCUACAUCAUCACAAGAAGGCAUGAAUUAUUUAAUAAAAACACUAAAAUAUUGAAAAAACAUCUUCCUUGAUUUUCAUCCCUUCAAGAAAUGGAAGCAUGAAUGUGGAGUAUGAUAAUAUUGGCACUUUCAACUUUUUUGCCCUGUGUGAGUAUCAUUUAAUAUUGAACCAAUUAUAAAAUAUGGAAAUCAUAUGUGUUUAAAUGGACGUUGGUUUAUCAGUCAAUGAAGCUGAACUAAGACUACGUUGAAUGAUAGAAAAAUAAUUUCUUAGUAUUUAAUGAAUUGAACAAACCUUUGUUUAUAUGAUAUUUAUAAGCUUUAAUUAUAAUAGAAUUCAGAGUUUUGAACACAGUAUGUUUUUCAGGUUAAUUCUGUGGGUUUACUUCUUUGUUUUUCUUCACAUAUGAUAAACUUAAGCUGGAGAUUUACUUAUAGUAUGCUAGAAAAUUAAAAAAAAAAAAAAAAGAUUAAAAAACCUCUCCCUCCUCCCUUUUGGCUACCUUCGCUCUAAUUCUUCCAAUAUUAAUACAAUGUUGCUGACUAUGUUAUGUUGUUACUAGGUUGUGCCAAAUCAAGAGAAUAAUUGGACAUUAAGAUUCAUCUCUGAAUACAUUAAUUAGAUGAUUUCUUUAUUUCUGUCUUAAGUUACUAAUGAUUUCCUCUCCAUAACUAGGGAAACUCUGGAAGAACUCAUUAGCCUUUUGGGAUUCUACAGCUACUUUAUGAUGAUUUUUGGUGGAUGUGGCCAUUCUGGUAACAUUAGAGUUUAUAUCAAGUUCCAAAAAUUAAAAUUUCAAAAAGAAAGGGUACUGUUUAGAUUUAAAAUGUGCUCCCUUCAGGAGGUUAUUUCUCUUCAGAUAAAAUACACUCCAGAACAAUGGUACCUAUGGAGAGACAUGAGGACCCCAUGAAUACUAAUGUGCUCAUCAGGAUGAUCAUUGAGAAGUCACAUUUUCUCUAAAUACUGAGAUUCUACAGAUAUCUCCUAUACAUGCAGAAGACAUAGCCACAAUAUACCUCAUUUCAGAGGUUAUAUGCCUUACUACACCGAGAACUCAUUGUGAACAACUCAGUCUUCACGUUUGCGUUUCUAGGGCCUUGCCCAGUGCCAUGUAUAGGAGAAACUCAAUAAACAAAAAAAAACAAAAUUAGCUAAUUAAGGAAAUCUUUUAACCUCUCUGAGUCUAAGGAUGUUAAGCCAGAAAUCUGCAGGCCUUCCCUGUUGUAAUAUUCUAUGAAUCUUAAGCAGAACUAUUCUUUUUAUAGGUAGUGAAAACUUUUCAAAGAUUCUUUUUCAUCACCAUGUCUUAAAUUACUAUAAUUUGAUAACAUUUCGUAUAAAUAAGGUUUUACUUUGAAAUGAUAAAGUUUAAUCAAAUGCUUUAUAUCUUUCAUUACAGUAAUACAUGCAGGUAAAACACAUCAAACGUUAAUCAGCAGGAAGCAAGGAUGUCGGGGGUGAGCUGAGAAAGUACCAGCUUGGAGCUCAGAGUCGCUAACACGGGAGAGGCGCUAACAUGGGAGAGGCUCUCCAAAGAAAACUCAGCCUCUUUCACCAUUUCAUUUAGCCUGAGUGGGCCUGUUUUUUCUUUUUUUUUUUAGCCUGCCAUCUUUCUUCCAUGAAGUCCUUGAGUAGUGCAAACGUUUAACGUGCUUGGCUGCUAACUGAAAGGUUGGAGGUUUGAGCCUAUCCAGACAUGAUUCUAAAGAAAGCCUUGGCAAUCUACCUUCGAAAAGUCAGCCAUCAGUUUUAUUCUGACACACAUAAGGGUGCCAUGAGUCAUAAUCAACUCAAAGGCAACUAGCUAUCUUUGAUCCAUAUGCGUUGGUGCCAUUUUCUUGACACAAUGGAUGUUGCCCCAAAAAUCUUCAGUGUACACUGAUUUUUUAUAAAUUAGAUCACGGCAUACAACAUACAGGUUGUACGGUGACCUUUAAGAUCCUUUAGGGCUUGACAUUAAAAGGAAGCAGGUUAAGAAUACUUUCCUAAGUUCCUCUGUUUUUCCAAUAUACUGAAAUUUAUUGGUAGUAAGUUCGAGUUUUCUGGAUAUUUUUCUAUAUGGUGGAUUUUGCCAAAGAGCUAAAAAUCAAAUGACUCUUCUUUCAAAUUUGGAAUAGAAAGAGGAUUUUUACUGCUUCCACUUACUGACUGCUGCUCGCGUAGAAUUGUCUGUGCUCCUGAAAGCUGUCAACUAUAGUUUCAAUUUUUAUAUAACCAUUAGAGGUAAAGGCAGGGUUAUGGCUUUCUCUCAUGGCCUCCCUUGAAUUGACAGAUAGGAACACUCUUCAGAAAGGAGAUACAGUUGUUGCCUUUUUAAAAUUGUAAAAAUAUGUAUAGAAAAAAAAGAUUUGCUAAUCCAACCAUUUUUACACGUAUACAUUUUGUUUAUUCGUCUGUUGAUGUACAUUUUGGUUUUUCCACAUUUUGGCUAUUGUGAAUAAUUAGCUACUACUUUUUUGUUAAUAGUCAUUUGCAAUCUUGUUGUUAGGCCUUCCUCUUUUUUCACUGGCCCUUUUCCUUACCAAGCAUGAUGUCUUUCACCAGAGAUUGGUCCCUCCUGAUGACAUGUCCAAAGUACCUGAGAUGAAGUUUUGCCAUCAUCACUUUUAAGGAGCAUUCUAUCUGCACUUCUUCCAGGACAGAUGUGUUUGUUCUUCUGGCAGCCCGUGGCAUAUUCAAUAUUCUUCACCAAUAGCAUAUUUCAAAGGUGUCAAUUCUUCUUCAGUCUUCCUUAUUCAUUAUGCAGCUUUCACAUGCACAUGAGGCAACUGAAAAUACCAUGGCUUAGUUCAAGUGCACCUUAGUCCUCAAAGUGACAUCUUUGCUUUUGAAUGCUUUAAACAGGUCUUUUGUAGCAGGUUUGCCCAAUGCAACAUGUCCUUUGAUUUAUUGACUGCUGCUUCCGUGGGCAUUGAUUGUGGAACCAAGUGAAAUGAAGUCCUUGUAAAAUGAAAUCCAUGACAAUUUCAGUGCUGCAAUUUUACAGGCUUGAAACGGAGUUGACUGCAUUGCCGAAGAUAAUGUCACUGAGUUCUCAUGGCACUUUGCAGAUCUGUGGAACCACAGUCCUGCUAGUAUCUUUGAAUAAGAUCUUGUAUUUCAACUGGAGGCAUGCCAGAGUCACCUGACCUCAUCUAACUUCACAAAGUGGAAGGAAAAUCAAGAUCUAAUCACCAAUGCUGAUUCCUGUGAGGUGGAGAUUGGCAGAAGUCUAAAUGUUUGUUAAAAGUCCCUAUUGUUGAGGAAAAGUGGAAAUUUGAUGGCACUAUUGAAGGUUCUUUGGCUGUAUCUAUUAAAAUCACAAAUGGAAACACCUCUUGACCCACCAAUUUCACCUCUGGGAGGAGAUGCCAACAUAGUCUCAAGUACCACCUGAUUGAUCAAGAAGCUCGCUCCACACCUGCAUCCUUCUCCAACGCAUUGUCCAGUCCAAUCCCUGACUGAAGAGUUGGCUUUAGGAAUGGUUGCUGUCCUGGGCCAACAAAAGAGGUGUUAGUAAGCUGUGUGGUUGGCUCCUUCUCCCUGAGGAAUCUGUGGCCGAACUCUCAUACCAUCCCACCACUGCUGCUCCGGGAAUGGUGCUUGAGGGGUCCCUGCGAUUCAGGUGUGGUAACUUCUCUUUGCUCCUGAACUGUCUCUUCCUUCCCUGCCCCUCAGGUUGUUUUCUAAGCUUGUCUUUGAUUCUCAGGGCUCAUAGCUUGUUAUAGAUAUACUCGUUUCAGUUGUUUUUUUGGGUCUUUGUUGUAAAGAGUGCUAGCUGCAAGCAUCUGUCUAUUCUGCCAUCUUGGCUCCACCUCCUGGCAUUUUCUAUUUUUAUGAUUCUUUGAAAGAAAUUCUGUUGAAUUCGGAAUGCAUUCUUUUAUUUUUUCUUGUAGAUUCUAAUUGAACAUAAAAGAAUGAUUUUUUACAUCUUGGGGUUAUAAUGAAUCCAUAAAUGAUACUCAAAAUUGCUUUUUAAAAAAAUAACUUCACCUGCUUAAAAGAACUCACAGAUGAUAGUCAAGAUGCUUUAGAUAGAUGGAUUUCUGGUUGUGGUCUCCAAACAAAUGUCUUCCAGAGCAGAGGAAAUUCUCACAUGCUCCCUUUCACCUCUUUUAUCACAUUUCCUCCAAGAGUACCAGUUCAUGAACCAAGGAUGACUCCAAAGGUUUUGGGCCUGAGGGAGGACCUGGGUUCAACAGCAGUUCUGGGGCUUGUUCUGAUGUGCUAAUCCUGUGACCGCUUCUUGGCUUUUCCUUAGCCUUGGCGCCUACUCUUGGCAUGGAUCUUGGGCCUUGGCUUAGUUAACUCUGUGACUUCUGGUUCUGAACACUGGCUGUGACCCCAGAAUAAAUACUUGCAGCAACCUCAUUAGAACUUCUGGUCUGUGGUUCUAUCAUGGUUUCCUGGCUCUAGGCUGCUUCUCUAAUGCCAGCUCACAAACUUGAGACUUUGUCCAGAACUGUAUGGGAAAUUAUUUUUGUAAACUGUGACUGACUAUACAAAUGUAAGAGAUUAAUAAUGUUAUUUUGAUUCAACCUUCUGACAAAAGCACUAAUAAAGAAUGCAAGUGUAUAGUGGUAAGAGGGGAAAAAAAGUCCAAAGCUUUUGAUGAUACAAAUCAAGGAUACAUAAAUGUCCAAAGUUUUUGAAGAUACAUAUGAAGGUAAGAGACCCUUCUCUCCUGGCUCCGUAUUUGAAAGAUUUACUAUCUAUACAGUUUCCUUAUUCUAUUAAGAAAAAAAAAAACUUCAAAAUUUGUUUAUUGUACUUUCUUCUCUUCUGAGUUUCGGAUCUAUAUAGCCAACUGUCCCCAUGGUUGUUCUGUGUGGAGACCCCCCAGAUAACUCAAAUAGAAUAUGUCUAAAACUGAACACAUUCUAUUCUUUCUUCAUCUCUUGACCCUGAAGCUGCUUCCCCUUGUAUGGUCUCCAAGUUCAGGGAAUGAUCCUACAAUCUACUAAUUGUCUAAGUCAGAGACCUUGGGAUCAGCCUUGGUUCUUCUGCUCUCAUCCCUGACUAAGAAUUCUUAUGUUCAUCUCUUUCAUUUUCUUCUAUCUGUCUUCUACUACAGACUUAUUUCACCUCUUGAAUGGAUGAUUGCAAUAGUCUCCUGGCUGAUCUCCCUGCUUCCAAUCCUGCCCCCAUUGCAGUACUGUAUGGAAAAGAAAGUGAAAUUUUGAAAAUACACAUCUGAUUAUGUUACUUUUUAGAUGCUGUUUCUACCACUUGGAAUACUCAUUUUCUGUGUUCCAGCAGCUAAUAUUUCUUUAAAUUUGAGCCUAAAUAUCAAAACAUCCGGGGUUUUUUUUUUUUUCCUCAAGACCCAAACCCAUUAGGAAUAACUUAGAUGCCUGUCUUCAUAGUACUUCCUUUCUCAUAUUAAAGUGCUUAUCAUCCUGUAUUAUCAUCACCCAAUUACUUGUCUAUUUUAUAAUAGUGUAAAGACUAUUAUAAGGCACCUAAUGGUAAAAGCAACAUAUGUUUCAUUAAUUGUCGUAUUUCUAGGGCUUCACAUGAACCAGGAAUGCAGUAGGUCUUUAAUAAUAUUAUGUGAAAUAAUUGAAUGAAUGAAUAAAUGAACUUUGAAAAUGAAAUGUAAAAUAAUUCAAUUACUAAAACAAGAAAAACAAGAGCAGAGGAAAUUCUUCAGAAUGGCUAACUAAGUGAAAGAGAGACUCAUAGCUAAAUAAGAACAAGAAUAAAGGACUCAAAGGGUAAAAUGUGAUAACAGAUUAGCAAAUAUAAAGACAGAGAUGAGUAGUUUGCUAAUUCUUCUCUAGGUAAGGUAGAGAAAGAGGUACCGAGAGAAGGACAUACUCUUUGCCGAUGUUUCCCAGGACAUCAGAAAAAAAAGAUUAAAAAAGAUGUAGAGAAAGUAUUAACGUGCAUAUGCGCAAGCUCACACACAUAGAAAGAGAGAGAGACCAACAUAGUAAUAUAAGUAGGCUCUCAUAUAGAAAAGGGAAGUGCAGUGGGUGUCCUUGAAACAUUUUAUCACUAUAACUCUUUGAAGCUAUGAAGGGCAUAAAGAGUUAACACUUUAUUUCAGUUUUGCAAUAAUAGACAUAAAUGGGGUGUUGCCUUUUGGCACUUUCCCCAUGGGUUAGAAAAAUUAGAUUGCACACAGGAUUUUCCCCAACUCUAGGCUAGCUCUUUAAUAGUGGAGACUUUACUGUCAAACAAAUGCUAGUUUGUAUUAAAUUACUGGCACAACAUUUUCAACAUAAACUGUGCAACAGUGGCAAGAAGGUAAGGCUUCAAAAUCCCAGUAAUGCUGCCUUAUUAUGGUUCAUCUUUAUCUGGCUAAAACAUAACCUCAGUAAGUGAACUGGAUAUUGCCUAUUCUUUUGAAAUAUUAUUAUUGCAUUACAUAUUUAUUAUUACAUAUAAAAUUAUUGGACAUUAUUUUCCUAUUCAAAACUCUUGAGCAAAGAGGAUUUGGGUCUUAGCCAAUCUUAACUAGAUCUCAAGCUGUGGAGUAGCCCCAGUAGUUAUCGGAGUUUCAGAAACACAAUAGUAGUAUAAAUAUAGCUUUCCUAAACUUAACCUCACCUACUAUUAUCUUCUUUAUUUCCGUUAAUGAGGAAGAUGCUAAUUCUAUUCUAAGAAAUAAUUGAAAUAACUGUUUAUAUUUCCAUCCACAAUCUUCUCAGUAACUCCUUUAUAUAGAUCUUGUCAUGCGUCUGCAUGUUAAGUCGUCAUUAUCAGUGUUACAUUGUUUAAUAAGAUACCAAUAUUGAAAUUGUUGCCUUUAAGAAGAAUGGGAAAAAGAAGAAGCCAUUACUGGAAAGUUUGUAUUAAAAUUGUUUUUCAUUCUCUGAUUUCCCCAUUAUAUUCUCAGGCAUGGUCUCAACCUGAGAAAAAAAAUUUUUUUUUUUCCUUUGGCAGCUAAUUCUUUAUUGUGGGCUCUGCUGUGCACUAAGAUAUUUAGCAGUUUUCCUAGACUUUACCUGUUAGAUAACAGUAGCAUCUCCCAAUUGUGACAAUCAAAACUGUGUUCAGACAUUGCCAAAUGUCCCCUGGGAGGCAAAAUUGACCCUGGUUGAGAAUUGCUGCUCUAGGAUUUAUUUGUAUCUUGUUUUCUGUUGUUUACCUAAAUGUUAUAAAGUCCAGGCUCUGGUAAAACCCCAAAUAUUUUUUUCAAGUGAAUGAAGAAAAAUCUCUUGUCUUCCCUACGUUUUAAAUAACUGUCACAAAAUGUUUCAGAGGACUCACUAUGUAUCAGCAUUGUAUUACAUGCACAACUUGGUUUUUGCACUAAAAAGUUUUUAAUCAAGUUGGAGAGAGAAGAUUAAUACUCACUCAAAGAACAUGAAAGACUAAUUGAAGGCAGAAUACAUUGGUGAUGGACUGAAAGGCAGAGUGGUUCCAAAAUGUAUGGCACAAGCUAUGGUGAAGUUAUUGAUCUUCUGAUUUGAUGUUCCUUGAAUCUUCUAUGACCUCUUUUGACAUGUGGGCACUGGAAAAAUGCUGGUUUAUUAACUCGAAUCUCUCUGCUAUGAUAUAUAAUAACAAAGAGAACAGUAAGAAAAUAUUUUGUUUAAACGAACCAGAUCACUUUUACAUGUGAUGGCCAAGCCAUGCUGGGGAGGAGGUGCUGAGCCUGGUUAUGUUAGUGAUUGAGUGGUAACUGAAGAAGACAAAUCUAACCAGACAUGGGAAGUCCGCGGCAGACAUGUGAGCCUGCAGAGUUUGAAUGAGGGCACGUUAAUGGAGAUCAAACCAUGUUUUUCCGCUAACAUCAGACCUUAGCUAUUUAAUGAUUAUAAAACUUUCCUAACAUUUACAAGUUUCUAAAAACAUUUAUUUCCCUUUAUUCCACACAAUUCUCACUGCCAUCAAAAAGAUUCAUGCGAAGAGUUUUUGUGUUAGCUAAAUAACGUCCAAAACAAAAAACAAAAAAUCCUUUCUUUCGCUGUUAACCAUUAAAACCCUGGUUGAUUGGUUUUAAUCAAAUUGAAAUCUCCUGAAAUUUUAUACUGGGAUGACUAACGGAUCUCUGAAGGAUAGGAUAUGGUGAAUUUCUACAAUGUCUUUUUCAUAUAAGAGAAAUUUCCAAAUUAAAUAAUCUGACACAUUUCAAAAAAUCACACACAUAAAUUGCAAAGUGCUCUUUUCUAAUAGCUAUGGAAUUUAAUUAGUAAAAAAAGACUUCGGAGAAUACUAAAUUGAUGGAUGUUACUAUGACUGUUCAUAAAUAUUUUGGCAUUCCCACCUCCGGGGCCCAUAGAACUGUGUUUCCCCAUCAACUUGAAACUAGGUGUAGUGACAUGACAUGCUUUAGCCAAUGAAACAUGUGCAGAGGUAACACAUCACUACUCGUCAAAGAUUUUAAGAGGCAGUACGUGAUUUUCUUUCGCCAGUGUAACUGGUGAUAUUCCAGAUAGAGAUAGCACUGUUAUCUUGAGUCUCAGGGUGAAGAUAAAGAUAAAUCAGGAAAAUGACCCCAGCUGAUCUGCACAGACAUGUAGCUGAAAGGAGAAAUAAAACUUUGUUGUUUACAGCCGAUGAAAUUUUUGUGAUUGUUACCACGGCAUAACCCAGACUAUCCUGCUUAUACGAAGUCCAAAUUCUUCAUUUUAUCAAUGUCAUGGAUUGAAUUGUGUCCCCCCAAAAUAUGUGUCAACUUGGCUAGGCCAUGAAACACUGUAUUGGGUGAUUGUCUACCAUUUUGUCAUCUGACGUGAUUUUCCUGUGGUUUGUAAAUCCUACCUUUGUUAUGCUAACAAGGCAGGACUCAAUCUACAAGAUUAGGUUGUGUUUUAAACCAAUCUCUUUUGAGAUAUAAAAGAGAGAAGCAAGCAAAGACACAUGGAGACCUCUUACCACCAAGAAAGAAGUACCAGGAGCAUAGAGUGCCCAUUGGACAUGAGGUCUCUGCACUGAGAAGCUCCUUGACCAGGGGAAGGUUGAUGACAAGAACUUUCCCCCAGAGCUGACAGAGAGAGAAAGCCCUUCCCUGGUGCCCUGACUUCAGACUUCUAGCCACCUAGACUGUGAGAGAAUAAAUUUCUCUUUGUUAAAGCCAUCCACUUGUGGUAUUUCUGUUAUAGCAGCACUGGAUAACUAAGACAACUAACAAAAAAAUGGAGGCCCUGAGAAGUCUCAGCACUUGCCUGCAGCUACAAACGAGAUCAAGACAGAUUCAAUUCCAGAGUCAGUUAUCUGCUGCCCGGAGUAGUAUAUUCUGUCCACUACACCAAUGUUUUCCUAAUUUGGCAUAUGUACCAAUGGCCUCCAUGAGAUGAAUUUAGGUGUGAUAUGAAUAUUAACUUAAAUGAUAAUGAAUCACAUAGAGAGAAUGAAUCUGUUUUUAAUUCUCUUUCAUUCCUUUCGAUUAAUGAAAUGAAAAAUUUCCAUUUGGUGCUAAUGUAUCUUUAAGUGUGUUUUUACUUUUUAACACUUGCUAAUACCUUUAAAAAAAGUUCUUUUUACUAUUAUUAAUGAGAGAAAAGCACUCAGACUCUGAGUCUUCCUUGGGCACCAACAUCUAAAUGGAAUAUAAUAAGAUUGUUUUGUUUUCAUUGUGGUUAAUUUUACAGAUACUUUCUUUAUAUAGGACUUGAUCUUGGUUUAAUACACGAUACAAAGGCAUUCGACUGUGUGGAUCAUAAGAAAUUAUAAAUAACACCGCAAAUUCCGGAACACUUAAUUGUGCUUUUGUGGAACCUGUACAUAGACCAAGAAACAGUCGUUCAAGUAGAACAACGGGAUACUGCAUGGUUUAAAAUCAGGACAGGUAUGCGUCAAGGUUGUAUCCUUUUACCACACUUAUUCAAACUGUAUGCUGAGCAAAUAAUCCAUGAAGCUGGCUUAUAUGAAGAAGAAUGUGACAUCAGGAUUGGGGGAAGACUUAUUAACAACCUUCGAUAUGCAGAUGACAAAACAUUGCUUGCUGACAGUAAAGAGGACUUGAAGUGCUUACUGAUGAAGAUCAAAGACCACAGCAUUUAGCAUGGAUUACCUCUCAACGUAAAACAAAAGUCCUUACAAUGGACCGAGAAGCAACAUGAUAACAAAUGGAGAAAAGAUUGAAGUUGCUAAGGAUUUCAUUUUUCCUGAAUCCAUUAUCUGCAUUCGUGAAAGCAACAGUUAGAAAUCAAAUGACGUAUUGCAAUGGGCAAAUCUGUUACAAAAGACAUCUUUAAAGUGUUAAAAAGCAAAAAUGUCAAUUUAAGGGCUAAAGUGCACCUGAGCCAAGCCACGAUAUUUUCAAUUGCCUCAUAUGCAUGUGAAAACUGGACAAUGAAAAAGGAAGACAGAAGAAUUGUUGUCUUUGAAUUAUGUUGAUGGUGAAGAAUUGAAUACAUAUAGCACUGACUGACAGAAGAACAAAUAAAUCUGUCUUGGCGGAAGUACAGCCAGAAUGCCCCUUAGAACUUAGGAUGGCGAGACUUCAUCUCAUGUACUUUGGACAUGUUGUCAAGCGGAAUCAGUCCCUGGAGAAGGACAUCGAGUGUGGUAAAGUGGAGGGUCAGUGAAAAAGACAAAGACCCUCAAUAACAUGGAUUGACACAGUGGCUGCAACUAUCAGCUCAAACACAGCAAUGAUUGUGAGGAUGGCACAGGAUUGGCACUGUUUCGUUCUGUUGUACAAGUGUCACUGUGAGUCGGGACCAACUCAACAGCACCUAACAACAACAACAACAGUCAUAUAAAGUUCACUUUUAAAUACAUUCAUUUGCAGAUAAAAAGUUAAUAAAGUAUUAAGUGAACAAGAAGACAAGUUUUGGAUAGAUAACGGCAAAAAUUCUACAAAUACUGCACGAAUGUCUGCGCUUUUGAGGUAAACAUGAGAAAGGGAGGUGAUAAUGACUGAAGUAUGUUCAUAGGUACAAUUUACUUUGUCUCAAUUAGAUAACAUCUUUAUCUUUGUUUCCUCAGUUGGGAUGAGGAACAGAUAAAUGCUUUCUAUUUAGAUGAGCAAAUAUAUUUUCAAUGAAAAUGUAACAAACAGUGGAAAGCAAGAAGGAAAAGAUCAUUUUCUUUUUUCAAAUAGCAAUGGACGAAGGCAUAAUGAAUUAAAAUAGGUAAUACAGGAGGGAAAAAAAAGGAUUUGAAACAAUAUCCUGCAUAUGAUUUUGAACAGUGAAUCAUAUAUUGGAGGUAUUCAGCAAGUGGUUAAUUCUUAAGUAAUUCGCAUCCAGCCAGGUGUCACUAAAUAGCCAGAAUAACCAAAAAUAUGGAGCUACAUGUCAAGAUCUAUACAUCUACCUAACUUAUAGCAAACAUAACUAACUUACAGGUAAAAAUAUUGAACUACCUUGACCAGCUUUCCAAAGAUCCUCAAAAUUAAGUUUUAAUAAAUUUCAAUAUUAUAUAGAAUCAUGCGAAUUUAACAUCACCAAUUUCUGUUUAGAUGGGUAGCUGUUGUAUAGUUUAUUAGAUGCCUAUCUGUGCAUAUAAAUUUUCAGGUCUCAAGGGCCAAACUCCAUUUAAAACCACAAUGGCCUUAUAAUGUCACUGUUUUAUACUGUCAUUUCUACACUUUACCCCCUGCUACUUUCGGAGUCAAAGGCUACAUACCUAGAGCUGUAUAUUACAAUGGUUCCUCUAGCAUUUUCACCAAACAGUAUUUCUUAAAUCCUAUUAUACUAAACAUGGUUGGAGAAGAGGCUUCCGGGUACUGUAUAUCUAUUGCUCUUAAGAAGCAUAAAAUCCAGAUAAAACAGAUUUUAUUUAGGGCUUAAGAGUCAAAUGCAAACUGUGCUAGAAGAAUCCUGUACUGAUUUGGGCUAAGAUGUGUAUAGUAGUUUCUUGUUCAUUCUACUAGAAGAUGAUACAGUCAGUUUCCAUAACGCUUCUUUUGAACACACAAAUUUAUUCUGGUGUGAUUGAGGUAUCAGGGAACAAUUUGAAUAAAACAGAUUUUGUGCUUGUUUAUGCAUGAUUUUGUUUGUGAGAAAAGCAAGGUGAACACAGAGAAAUGCAGGCAGUAGGAAUACACAAAUGUAGGAAUACACAAAUACACACAGGCACACACCUCAGACAUCUAUCUUGUUCACAGCACAUGUUAAGAGCCACACCCAUAUACACCAGGUAUUACAACUUUGAUUCUAAUUCCAGGUAGUCUUCUUCCCACCCCUUCACAAAAACUCAUGAACUGCAACCUUUGAGACCCACUUCUAGAAGCAAGCUACUGGUCUUUUUCAAGGUAAAACUGAAAAAAACAAAAACAAAAAACCAAACCCAUUGCCGUCAAGUCCAUUCUGACUCAUAGCGACUCUUAUAAGACAGAGGACAACUGCCCCCAGAGUUUCCAAGGAGCUCCUGGUAGAUUCAACCUGCUGAACUCUUGGUUAGCAGCCAUAGCACUUAACCACUAUACCACCAGGUUUCCUUUUCAAGGUAAAGUAGUAUUUAUUGUAGUAUGUAUGUAUUUCUUAACCGUUACCUUGGAAACCCUGGUGGCAUAGUGGCUAAGAGCUACCUCUGCUAACCAAAAGGUUGGCAGUUCAAAUCUGCCAGGCGCUCCUUGGAAACUCUAUGGGGCAGUUCUACUCUAUCCUGUAGGGUCGCUAUGAGUCGGAAUUGACUUGACGGCACUGGGUUUGGUUUUUGGUUUUAACCAUUACCGUAUUUUUAUGCAAAUAAUGUGUGUGUUCUAUGUUUUCUUUGCCAACCACGUCCUCCCCUUGUGAGAUAUUUUCAGAAAGGCUAAUAUGCUAAUCUGAUAAUUUUUACAAAAAUACUUCAAGGGGGAGGGGGGAAGGAUGGCUCAGUAAGCAAAGAAACAAAAAGUGUGGCCGAUUAUUUGCAUAAAAAUACAAUAAUCAUGUGUAAAACUACACUCCUAUUUUUACUAGGUUCCUAUCUUUUUUUUUAUGUGACACUGACAAAGUUUUUAGUGUUGUACCCCAACACUCUUUUCCCCAUAAGCCCUGUUGUUUUAUUGUACGAUUUUGCAUCUAUCCCAUGAUAGCGGGACUGUGCAUAUUUAUGCUUAUUUUGGUAUAAUAUAAAGGUAGUAAUGCUGAUGAUGUUAAAUCUCCGACACUGGGAGAUUUGUGAAAGAUUAAAACUACAUAACUGUCCUGUAUUUCCAUCUAGUGCAGAAAUAUUUAAAAUUUUUGGAACAAUGCACUCACUUCUUAUAGAAAUAAUUCAGACAUGUCUGUAAUUAUGACAAUAUCUUUUGCAAGGUGCCAGUGUUUCCCAAACAUACAGGCAUCUUCCCCAUUUCUUCUGGGAAGGAUAAGGUCUUCUUGGAUAAUCAGUAUGUUCUUGGUUAACUGGGCUGAUUAUUACCCAUUUGCAUAUUUCCCUUUCUGUUCUUAGGAGAACAGGGAAUGAUAUUCAAAUUCGCAAUUCAUUUAUUCAUGCAUUAACCCAAUAUUUAUUGAGUAAUUACUGUGUAUCAUGCACUGUUCUAGACAUGCUGGACAUUGGGGCAAGACAGACCAAAUCCUUCCCCUUGUUGAGCUUAUAUUUGGCAUUAAUAUUAUGUGAGCCCAUGGGUAUUAAAAGAGAAUGGUAGAAUUCUUCUGUCUUUGGUUUUGGAGUUAGUUUUUGGGUGGCAAUUCUCCUGAAGGUGGCAAUCCUUCUGAAUAAAAUCUUAGUUUCAAUUGGACCUUGACAAAUUAGAUUUAGGUAGUCAUUUUUUCUAGAAGGGAAUGCCAAAAUAGAUAUUUUGAAGAAAAUGUUCUCAAAAAGAAUUGCUUGCUAAUGGAACGAUCAACAAUCCUGACCAGGCCAGGUUAUAGAUGUGUGGCCUGGUGCUCGGUACUGGGGUCUUGUGGUAGAAGACUGCAGGAAAGACAUGUUUGGCUUCCAGUGGUUUCCAAAUUGAAUUAACCAAGCAAAUAUUUCAACUAUUCACCGCCAGUUGGAAACGUUAGCUAUUAACAUUAAACCAUUAAAAUUUUUGACGAUGUUUUGGUUCCCAAUAUAAAUUUAGUAGAACUCAUUUGAUCCCAGAAGAAGAGGCUUAACUUCUUUCUUUUCUUCUAAAUAUAAACUUGCUUUCUUAGUAGUAUUAUCCAGGAUCUUUCCCAGCCCUCCUCGCUCUCCUUUUCUCUUCUGCCUUCCUUUUGUUCUGCAGACAACUCCGUGCCUUGGGUGAGGUUCUGAACUACAAUGGAAGAGGAGGGGCCUCUGUGGUCUGUUUUGAGCUCCACAAAAUGUAUCAGACAAGUUUUACUUUCUUAGAGUGCUAUAUAGUGAUUUUUUUUUUAAUGUGUCUAAGAAAUGGAAACAUUUUGUCUCAUAUAAAAAAGAAAUAUUUUUAUACUGUGCUCCACUCACAGACCACAUCAGAGGUAUUCUAAGAAUAGAAUAGAUCAAAUAUAUUUUAUGGAAAUAUAAUGAGAAAAGGAUGUGUUCCCAAAACUCACUCUGAACAAAGGAAUGCAGCAUAGUCAGGAAUACUUUAACGCUCCUAACAAUUUUCUCAUGUGAAAGGCUGAGGAACAGCCCUGGUUUGAAGAAAUCGCCCACUUCUCCCCAGGCUCCCUGAACUUGAAAUCAGAACUAGGAAAUCUAUACAUUGCAAAAACCGAAAUGUAUGGAAAAAGUGACUUAGGGCAUUAACCAAAAAGGCAUUUUUGAAAGAAGAAAACAUCAAUAUGAAGCAUUUUGUCAUAUUUCAUUUCAUUGAUCACAUUUUUUUUUUUUUUUUUAUGUAUUCCAGAGUACUGAAGCCUAAAAGUAACUGAAUUUCUGUGGAUUCAUAUUAGAUUUGUCAGUCUGUGUUUGAUGAAACUUACCAGGAAACAAAAUAUGUUACAAUCAUUUGCUUUUAUCGUACUGUUCUAUCAUGUAUACGAUGAAUAGUAAUACUAACUAUAUUGAACAUAUAUCUUUUCUCAGAAAUGAAAUACAUCAAGGACUGAAUAUGUGUUCAAAUAAUAAUAUUCUUUUCAUAAUAAUAACCUAUAGGUAUUCAGGAAACUAAACUUACUGGUUUUAUUAAAGUCGCCUGACCAGAGUUCUGAUGGACAGUGAGUAAAUAUCUGCCUUGGAAUAUGAUAAAAAAUAAAAUAAAGUGGGGGGACCUCGUACCACCAAGAAAGUAGCACCAGGAGAAGAGCUCGUCCUUUGGACAUGGAGUCCCUGUGCCUGAGAAGCUCCUGGGCCAGGGGAAGAUUGAGGACAAGGAACAGAAAGAGAGAGAAAGCCUUCCCCUGGAGUCGACACCCUGAAUUUGGACUUGUAAACUACUAGAUUGAGAGAAAAUAAAUUUCUCUUUGUUAAAGCCAAAUAAAUAAAUAAAUGAAAUGGUAAAAAGGAUUUUUGAGGUCUUGAAUUCUCAUUCCACUUGUAUUUCUUAUCUUCGGCCUCCAUUUGUCUGUGUGCAAAAUGACCAUGACAUAAAGAAUGUACAUUCAAGGUCCAUUUUACAUAAUUAUGAAUUAAAAAUAAUUUGUUCAUGGUGAGAUUCUCCAUCCUAUUGGUUGAUAGAUGUUAAUUCUUAGUAAUAGAGAAAAUAUUGCCACAUUAUAAUUUCUACUUUUUGGUUCAUUGAAACAUGUAUUUUUAUCCAGUAUCAAUCUGUUUAUUCAUUAUAACAAAUGCCAGCACCCUUACAAUAGCUUAUGGUACAGGUUGAAUAAUGUCCCCCCAAAAUAUAUGUUGGAAUCCUAACCCAUAUACCUGUGGAUGUAAUUCCAUUAGGGAAUAGGAUAUUCUUUGUUAUGUUAAUGAGCUCAUAUCAGUGUAGGGUGUGUUCUAAACCUAAUCACUUCUGAAUGACAAAAAGAGACAAUUAGACACAGGAAGGAGAGCAGAUUUGGGGGAGGAGGAGUAGAUGUCACAUAUGGAUCACCAAGGAACUGGGGAACAUCAGGCUACAAGCUGAAAGAGACAUGAAUCCUCCCCCAGAGCUGACAGAGAAAGAGCCUUCCCCUAUAACUCGUGCCCUGGAUUUGGACUUCUAGCCUCCUAAACUGUGAGAAAAUUAAUUUCAGCUCUUUAAAGAAAUUGUGGUUUUCCUGUCACAGCAGCACUAGCAAACUAAAACACCCUACAAGGCCUUCCAUGAUCUGGCCUCCUGCUUCUUCUCAGACAGGCUCUCCUGGCCUCUUCCCCUGGCUCGCUCUGCUCCAGCCACACUAGCAUCCUUGUUGGCUCCAGGACACUGAGGAAUCUCUAUCCUUCAGUAAGGCAUUUACCUGAGAGUUUUCUCUCCUUGAAGUAUUUUUCCACAGAUGUCCAUUUGAUUGAUCUCUCCAGUCCUUUCAUUCAUUGAUCAACCUCACCUCUCAAUAAGGCCAUAUAUCAUAACAGGAUUAACACUGCAACAUUUCACCUCAUCCCCUUUCCACCCCAACAAGCUGCCUUUAAUCAUUUCCCUUUUUUUGAUUUUUUGAUAGUACUUAUCAUCUUCUAAUAUACUACAUGACUUAUUUAUUAUAGUUACUAUUUGUCAUUCCUUGUAGGGAAUGUAAGCUACAUGAGGCCAUGAUAAUUGUGUACUUUGUUAGCUGAUGCAUACAAGUGUCUAUAUUUAUGCCUGAUACAAUACAUUCAACCAC
This is a long non-coding RNA of Loxodonta africana (African savanna elephant), 53044 nucleotides long. RefSeq lists it as uncharacterized. The record is from RefSeq and is a predicted model, not a curated record. The transcript is spliced from 13 exons. Lineage: Eukaryota; Metazoa; Chordata; Mammalia; Proboscidea; Elephantidae.